AAGAUACGCUGCAUACUCGGUUGGGUAGCGCCCACGAGUGCCACUCCGGAGACGGGCUUUGUGCUUUCGCGUUGGUGUCGCUCAUGCCGGUUGGACUUGCUCUCCACGGACCAGUUAGUGUGGAGGUAGCUGGAUAGUCGCAACUGGGCAGGGACGGGUGUAUUCACAGUCCCAGGGACGGAUAGGUUUACAGUCCCGAUUGGAUUGGGUCAGAUUUGACAUUACCUACAGUUGGUUAGUGUAGAGCAUGAUAGUGUAGUGAUUCAUAGCAGUAGAUUUUAUUCCUGUAUUUACUACUAUUUUUGCUCACUUCUGUAGACUUAGUGGGUGGACCGAUGUUGUUGAGGGCGGCACCUACUGAGGACUACCUGUUUUUACAGUAGUUCUCACGCCCUGUUAUUAUCCCCUGUUUUUGCAGAGCCAUCGUCGUCGGCUGCUGCUGUCGCAGAUCAGGAUCGAAGCAAGGGCGUCACGAGUUAGAGCCCUACCAAACGUGCCGAGCUAAAGGUGCCCCUACUGCAGGUAGAUGUUUUGUUUUGAGUUCAUGUACAUAGUAUACUUAACUCGCCAGUGCGAGUAGCUCUAUAAUUUUGGUUAUUGGACUAUGUAUAUGGAACUCCGUUUGUUUAGCUUCUGUUUACUCUAGCAGCUCUAUACUACUGUUUGUAGUAUUGUAUGUUUUACAGGUACAGCUGUCGCUUCGUAUACAGGGGAAAUUCCUUUGAAUACGGCGGAUUUGUCGGCGUACCCGGGGAACGUGUAAUUCGGGGCGUGACAGAUGAAGUUGGUAUCAGAGUUUUGUUAUAGGUCAUUGGGACCUAGAAACCCUAAGUUGGCAAACCUUAGGAAAGCAAGACGCGAGAGGCGUAAUUUAUUGCGAAAGUCAAUAAUUAGUUGUUUUAACUCUUCCUAGAGUGGAGUGAGUGAUUGAAGGAGUACCUAUUUUGGUCUGAGAAAUUAUGUUGGCUGCAGACGACAUAGUUUUGGAAGGAAACAGGGACCGCCUUCCAGACUUUCGUUGAUUGGGUCAAGAGUGUUUGUGUUUCAACUGACCCCGAUCUGUUCCUUUCAGCUAUGUAUCGUCGCCGAGGUCGACCGUCGUUGCGGGAGCGUGCCUAGUUGGCGCGGGAUCAUGCAGGACCUUCUGAGAGACCUGAGCAAAUGGAGCAGGGUACUCGGCAGAGCAGGGUGACAGACCGGAGGCGAGUGCACCCCCUGUUGUGGAGCCGAGUGCGCGACCUGAGGCUAACGCACCUCCUGAUCUGAGUGCACAGUUAGCUGCCCUGACUGAGGUGACGAGGCAGCAGGGAGAGUUGUUGCAGAGGUUGUGUGAGAGGGUGGUUCAGACACCGAGUGCUGCACCGAGAGUACCAGAGCAGACUUUUUCGCCACCGACUACUCCAGCGUCAGCACCAGCCGCAGCUAUGCCCCUACCAGCGGAGCUUCCUGCAGCGCCAGUUGAGCCUGCUAGGGGGCCCAUACAGUUGACAGAAGCCGAGCAGGAACGCUGGACGGAGAGGUUGGCUCGUUUUCGCCGUUUUGAUCCACCAAUUUACGAUGGCAGAUGCACUGAGGCCUGGGUUGUUGAGGGAUGGGUCAGUGCGAUGGAGAAGCUAUUUGAGGAUCUGUUCAUUCCAGGGGGAGCAAGUACCUCUGGGAGUACACUGUUUAGCAGGUAUGCUCAUGACUAGUGGCGGAGAGCGAGGCGAGACCAGGGGCUGGUGGCGGCGCAGCUGAGUUGGGAUGAGUUCUGUGGAAUGCUGUUUGGGAUGUUUUUUCCCAACAGUGUGAAGCAGAAGCUCGAGGAGGAAUUGAGGAGACUUCAGCAGGAGAAUCGCCCAGUGCAGGAGUACAUUCGGGAGUUUACUCGACUCCUGAACUGUGUACCAUUUGUCGCCAGAGACGAGGCGCACAGGGUGUACAUGUUCGAGCAGGGGCUGAGACCGGACAUCUUCAGGUUAGCGCGGGCGUAGAGGUCGAGGACCCUGGAUGCGUCCAUAGAGCAGGCCCUAUGGGUGGAGAGAGGUGAGGUGUCGCUGCAAGAGAGGACUCAGGCCGUGGGGCAGGGUCAGGACAGGAAGCGCCCCUUUCCAGAUGACGGAGGGCAGUCGAGCAGCAGACGUCCGCCGAGGCCUCCACGAUCACGCUCUCUGGGUCGUGGGUCUUCAGGGCGUCAGCGUUCCAGGGGAUCCCGUCAGCAGGGGCAGACUUAGAGGACGCCACAGUAUGUGAUUUGCGUGGGACCACACUGGCCCCGGCAGUGCGAGCAGAGAGAGGGCAGGUGCUACGGAUGUGGUCAGCCGGGACACAUGAGGGCAGCUUGUCCCCGAGCAGCAUCUCCAGCACCGUCAUCAGCUUCGGCACCACCAGCACCACAGCAGUCUUACGGAGCAGCACCGAGCUACCGCCAGGAGGACAGAUCGUCUGUGCCGCGGUCGAGUGAGCGGCGACAGCAGGCUCCGAGUGGCAGGGUCUAUGCAGCUCAGGUGGAGGACUCUUCAGCAGCCGACCGAGUGGUGGCAGGUAUCACUUUGAUUUCUGGCAUUAGAGUUCGCACUCUUUUUGAUACCGGUGCAUCGCAUUCCUUUGUUAGCCGAGCAUUUGCAUUGUUGCAUGGUCUAGAGUUAGGAGCGUUGUCUCAGGCACGAGAGGUGCAGAUCCCCGACCAUGUCUUGCAGGUUACAGAGUGUUGUUGGUCCUGUCCGGUGCAGUUAGACUCUUGGAUCAUGCCCGCAGACCUGUUGGUGUUAGGGCAGCUGCAGGACUUCGACGUAGUGCUCGGUAUGGAUUGGCUGGCGCGGUACUAUGCUACGAUCGACUGUGGAGCGAGGACGGUGACGUUCCGCGAGCCAGGCCAGGAGGAGUUUACUUUCAGAGGCUGCAGGAGCACGCUGUUUGCCACCUGGAUAUCUUCGGCGAGGGCUCGACAGAUGCUGAGCAGUGGGUGUAUCGCUUUCCUAGCGACAGUUGUGGAGGUACCUACGGCGGCGCCGAGACUCGAGGACAUCCCAGUAGUCCGCGAGUUUCCGGAUGUGUUUCCCCCUGAGUUGACGACGUUGCCGCCGGAGAGGGAGAUUGAGUUUGUGAUUGAUGUAGUUCCUGGAACUGCACCAAUCUCAAAGGUACCUUACAGGAUGGCACCGGCAGAGCUGAGAGAGCUAAAGGCGCAACUUCAGGAUCUGAUGGAUAGAGGGUUUGUGAGACCCAGUGUGUCGCCUUGGGGAGCGCCGGUGUUAUUUGUAAAGAAGAAGGAUGGUUCGCUCAGGUUAUGUGUGGAUUACCGGGAGCUGAAUAAAGUGACCAUCAAGAACAAGUAUCCUCUGCCGCGCAUUGAUGAUCUAUUCGAUCAGCUGCAAGGAUCUUGUGUCUUUUCGAAGAUUGAUCUCCAGUCAGGUUACCACCAGCUGAGGGUGAGGGCCGAGGAUGUUCCCAAGACGGCUUUUCGGACUCGGUACGGGCAUUAUGAGUUCACGGUGAUGCCUUUUGGAUUGACGAAUGCCCCUGCCGCAUUCAUGGAUUUGAUAAACAGAGUGUUCAAGCCGUUCUUGGACAGGUUUGUGGUAGUCUUCAUCGACGAUAUCCUGAUUUACUCCCGGAGUGAUGCUGAGCAUGAAGAGCAUUUGAGGAUUGUGCUGCAGCUUCUACGAGAGAAGCUGUAUGCCAAGUUGAAGAAGUGCGAGUUCUGGCUUCGGGAGGUUGCUUUCUUGGGCCACGUGAUUUCAGCUGAGGGCGUAGCAGUGGACCCGAAGAAGAUUGAGGCGAUUCGAGAUUGGCCUAGACCGACAACGGUGACUGAGGUACGGAGCUUUCUGGGACUGGCAGGAUAUUACUGUCGGUUUGUGGAAGGCUUUGCGAAGCUUUCCACACCCCUUACCAGGUUGACUCGGAAGGGGAUUCGGUUUGUUUGGAGUGAGGACUGCCAAAGAAGUUUCGACGAGUUGAGACAGAAACUGAUGCAGCUCCUAUUCUUGCCCUUCCUGUGAUGGGGGAAGAAUUUGUGAUCUAUAGUGAUGCAUCGCACAACGGACUGGGUUAUGUGUUGAUGCAGCAUGGUAGGGUGAUUACUUAUACUUCACGGCAGUUAAAGGAUUAUGAGAAGAAUUACCCUACGCAUGACUUGGAACUUGCCGCGAUGGUUUUUGCUUUGAAGCUUUGGCGGCAUUACUUGUACGGCCAGCACUGCGAGGUCUUUACCGAUCAUAAAAGUCUCAAGUAUCUGUUCAUACAGAGGGAGCUGAACCUGAGGCAGCGUCAGUGGUUGGAGUUACUGAAGGACUAUGACAUUAGUAUUCAGUAUCAUCCCGGCAGGGCGAAUGUUGUGGCAGAUGCGUUGAGCAGGAAGUCAGUGCAGAGCCUGAAUUUGAGGAUCACUGAGCAGAGACACCUACUCGAGGAGCUACAGCGGCUGGGACUCGAGGUAGUACCCCCUGGGAAUACGGCGAGGCUGAUAUCUCUGGUUUUGCAGCCCACUCUGUUGGAUAGGAUCCGGGAGAAACAGAGUGGAGAUCCGUACCUGUUGGGGAUUCGAGAGCAGUCAGACAGGGGGCAGGCUGAGGGUUUUGCUGUGGACAGUUUGGAAGUACUACGGUACAGGGACCGGCGGUGUGUGCCUGUAGAUUCGGAGAUCCGAGAGGCUAUUUUGAGAGAGGCUCAUUGUUCACCCUAUACGGUUCACCCUGGGGGAAUCAAGAUGUAUAAGGAUUUAAAGGCACAGUUUUGGUGGAAUGGAAUGAAGAGAGACAUUGGCAGAUUUGUGGCUCAGUGUUUGACUUGCCAACAGGUGAAGGCCGAGCAUUUGGUGCCUGCUGGCAAGCUUCAGAGUCUGCCAGUGCCCGAGUGAAAGUGGGAGCAGAUUACGAUGGAUUUCGUCGUGGGAUUAUGUCACGCCCCAGAAAUCUCGUUCCCCGGGCACGCCGACAAAUCCGCCGUAUACAAAGGAAUUUUUCCUGUAUACGAAGCGUCAAAGUACCAGUAGAAAUACGAUACUACAAACAGUAGCAUAGAGCUGCUCAAAAAACUAAAUAACUGAGUUUCAUAUACAUAGCUAGAAUCCAAAAUAUAAGGCUACUCGCACUGGCGAGUUAAACAACUAUGUACAAAAACUCCAAAACAACAACUACCUGCAGUAGGGGAAAGCCUCUAGCUCUGACUGUCGGGUAGGGCUCUAGCUCGCAACGCCCUUGCCUCGAUCCUGGUCGGCGGUAGAUGCAGCAGCCGACACCUGUGGCUCUGCAAAACACAAGUAACAACUGGGCGUGAGAACUACUGUAAAAACAAGUAGUCCUCAGUGGGUACCGCCCAAAACAACAUCGGUCACCCACUAAGUCUACAGAAGGGAGCAAGGAUAGAAGGAAAGCAGGAAGCAUACUCUACCGCUAUCAUCCACUACACUAUCAUGCUCUACACUAACCAACUGUAGGAAAUGUCAAAUCUGACCCAAUCCAAUCGGGACUGUAAGCAUACCCGUCCCCGGGACUGUGAAUACACCCGUCCCUGCCCCGCUGCGACUAUCGGCUCUAUCCACACUAACUGGUCCGUGGAGAGCAAGUCCAACUGGCAUGAGCGACACCAACGCAAAAGCACAAGCCUGACUCCGGAGUGGCACUCGUGGGCGCUACCCAACCGAGUAUGCAGCGUAUCUCUGUCGAGCUCAAUCAGGCUCCAACUAGCCAAAGUCAAGUAAUCGACUCAAACUGGUCUAACAACCAACAGGUAACGUGCCCUCGGCACAAUCUAACGCCAAAAAGGCGAUACGGGUCCACCGUCAACUUUGACGGCACCCAACAGUCCGAAACAACCUGAACGACCCUGUAAAAAUCCACUCGACGAAACAGCACGAGUGUAAAUACAUUCUAAACUACCUGGAGUACUCGUCUCGAAGAAACUGCGACAGUACAAUUUUCUAACGGCUCCUAGAGCUAACUCAGGUAGUUAAAACUGGUGACAGGUCCAAAUCGCAGGUUUCUCCUAAGUCAAAUCCAAGUCCAACAAGUAUCAAUUAUCCUCACUCACUAAGCAUGCUCCCAAUUCAGGUUUUUAAUAUACUAAUCCAUGAAUUUGAGCUACCUCAUUUAGUGUUCAACGAACAAAGCAUAUAAGUCGACUAAUAUGUACUUAGAGGCAAAAACCGAUGAACCCACCUCUCAAGCAACUCCUGGCAGCGAAGAAAGUGGCUUGGAUCCAAAAUGAUCCCUUGCUGGUCCGUCGAAGUCCCCGGUUCUCCUGCUGCGAAGAAGUAAACCCAAUUACACUCAAAAUCACGAAAUCUGCCCAGAAAACAGCAGCGAAGAAAGCGUUAAAUCCGACCAAGCUAACCUUAUCCAAAUUCAGCAAACAAGGGUUCUGAAGCUUCGUCUCAAAGUCACGAAUCCAAUGGUCCAGGUUUCGCUGAAUUCCGACGCUCCUACGCAGAGAACGGGCCAGAAUACGAAACGUCGACGCUGGAACCUGCGAACAGCAUCUCUGAAAUCUGCUCGGCAAACAGCAGCCUAGUAAAACUAGGGUUCGACAGGGCAAACCUGCUCCAAAAAUCGCAAUCUUGGGAUCAGAAUCUUCGUCUCGAAGUCGCGAAUCUAGCACGCCAAAUUUCGUCGCGUUUCGACAUUCCUACACAGAGAACUAGGUAAAACACGGCGGGUCAAUGCUGGAAUCAGCAAUCAGCACUUCAGAGUCUGCUCGGCAAACAGCAACUCAGUAAAGAGGGAUUUCGACAGAGCAAACCUUCUCCAAAUCGGGCGCGUAAGGAUCCUAUGGAUUCGUCUCGAAGUCUCGGUUCCAACGAAUCAAGUCGCGUCACGUUCCGAUGCUCCUACGCGGAAAACGAGCCGAAACACCGACGAUCGACACUGAAAUUCUGCGAAAACAGCACAAUGCUCGGAUUCAAUGGAGCUUGAAGUAGAGAAGAAAUCCAUGGAGGAAAGAGAGCUACCCACCUCUAACAGCGACUCCAAUUCCGGCACGGCGUCGAGAACGACGGAAACACUUCCUCGCCCGGCCUCCUCGUGAAACUACGGCGAUGCUCGUAUGCUCGGACGGCUCCGCGGCGUGACGUCGACGACGGAAAGCUCCACACGAGCUCCUCCUUGCUCCCAACCGGCUAGAGAGAGAGAGAGACAAUGAAAGUUAAUUAAGGAGGUGGUGGUGGUGGCAUCCUCGGUUAAAUCAGCAUGCAUGGGGAGAGGGAGGCACGUGGCAUAUAUAUAUAUAUAUAUAUAUUAGGAUACUACAUUCUCCUCCACUACAAAAAGUUUCGUCCUCGAAACUGAAAUGUACCUCUGCUCAGGCUUCGAACAAGUAGGGAUAAGUCUCCCUCAUCACCGUCUCAGGCUCCCAAGUCGCCUCCCGCUCAUCAUGAUUACUCCACUGCACUUUCACAUACGGGAUGACCCGGUUGCGCAAUUCUUUCGUCUCCCGAGUAAGAAUCCGCAACGGUCGCUCCUUGUAUCUCAGAUCCUCGCCAAUCUCAAGUAGAGUAAAGUCAAUCACAUGAGAGGGAUCGAAAACGUAUCUCCUCAAUGCUGAGACGUGGAAAACAUCGUGGAUGCCAGCAAGUCGCGGGGGUAGAGCUAUCCUGUAUGCAACCGGUCCGAUACGCUCCAAUACCUCGAAAGGGCCAACAAACCGUGGACUAAGCUUUCCACGUACUCCAAAUCNNNNNNNNNNNNNNNNNNNNNNNNNNNNNNNNNNNNNNNNNNNNNNNNNNNNNNNNNNNNNNNNNNNNNNNNNNNNNNNNNNNNNNNNNNNNNNNNNNNNUUUUUUUUCUGCUUUCUAUCUGUCGUUAUAUACGUUCGGUAUUGUACGUAUUUCCUUAAUUGUUAUAAUAUUAUUAAGUUAGAUUGGAUUCAAGCUUUACAAUCGAAGUCGAAGACCAAUCCACAGCCGCUUGCCACUGUGGAUUGCCUUGUACGAUUAGACCCUCUGUGGACACAAAUAAUCCGGCGUCGCCGAGAUUUUUGAUGGCGGACCCAUGUUACAAGAUAUAGGGUAAAGUGGCCUCUAUAAACUUGUUGUUCAUAUAUUGACAAUUAUUUGAUGUGUAAUUUAUAUUAUCUUUCAAUGCAGGGGCUAAGUAACGACUGUAAUUAUUUUGGUGGUACGACCCACACAUUUUACGAGCCGCGAGCUAUCUCAUGUGGUUAAUGGUUAUAUAGAAAGCAAUAAUAAGUUGCGCGGAAGAAAGCGCAGUUUGCACCAAAAAGAAAAAGAUGAAAUGGGCUGCUUUUUCAUUGUAUGGGAUAGUCAGUGGAUAAUGUGGUCAUCCUGCUAUAAAUGUGUGGCAAAGGGUGUACAUUGACUACCCUGUUAUCAUACAAGCUGUAAUAUUUUAUAUUAGUGUGUUAUGUUAGUCGUUGUGUUGUUACAAAAUAUACUAUUGUAGUAUUUUGUUUGGUAGACUUUAUAUUAUUAUCAUUGUGGUCCUGAUGCCAUAUGUUUUGUCUUAAAUUCUACAUUUUAUUUAAUAUUGUAUUACAACUUAUGACGUAAAGAAACUUUUACUCUAAUUUAUCCAGUUCUAUAGUAAUUGAUUAUAGUUCCAAUUAGGAACUUUAUACCACUCUGCGCGAACAUUUGCUGCGCUUAAAGAGCAGUACAUAGACCUUUUACACUCUAUAAUAAUAUUUUCUGUGGUGGGGCCUUAUUUUUUCAGUUGUAGUCUUAAAAUUGAACAGUUAUACCACCCCACGAAACAAUUCUAUGAGGGCUAAAGGGAGCAUACUCAAAUACUGCCACAUCUAUAUGCCAUUUCUAUAUCGUACCCUUUACUGGUGCUGCUUAUAGUUUUAAAAUGAAAAGUUAUACCACUCCUCGGGAACAUCUGUUAUGUUUACAGAGUUACACCAUAUAGCUGUCAUUUCUAUCUAUCUACUCUUGGUCGCCUUGGGUGUGCGUUCUACCUUAAAAUGGAAAGUUAUACCAAUUCCCGAACAUCUGUAUGGUGCUAAAGACGUACACCCAUAUAUCUGUCACUUCUAUCUAGUCUACUGUUGGUCGCUUGGGGUUGGCAGUUCUAGUUAAAUGGAAUAGUUAUACUACACCCCGGAACAUUGUAGGCUUAAAGAGCACACACCAAAUACCUGCACAUUUAUAUGUCCACUUCUAUAUGCCAUGUCACUUUUUUUUGUGCUGUCAUAGCUUAAAAAGAUAGAACGUUAUACCACUCCUCGGACAUCUGUAGUAUUUAAAGAGUACACCUAUAUACCUCCAUUUUAUCUAUUAUACUUCUAUAUGGUAGUCUUGGAUUUUCGCGUUACAGCUUAAAAUUGAACAAGUUAUACCACACCCCGAAAAUCUGUUAGGGCUAAAAAGCACACUCAAAUACCUCCCACAUCUAUAUGUUCAUUUCUAUAUGGUACCCUUUAGUGUUACUGUUUAUAGCCUAAAAUAGAACAGUUAUACCACUCUCGGACAUUCUGUAGUGUUAAGGUACACCCAUAUACCUGCCACUUCAUCUAUCUGACUUCUAUAUGGUAAGCUUGGGUUUUUGCUUAAGCUUAAAAUGGACAUUAUACCACACCCCGAAUAUUCUGUAUUAGGUGAUAAAAAGCACAUCAAAUACUCCACAUCUAUAUGUCCAUUCUAUUUGGACCUUUGUUGUGCUGUUUAUAGCUUUAAUAUAGACAGUUAUACCACUUUCGGAACAUCUGUAGUGUUUAAAGAGUUACACCUCAUGUAUACCUGUCAUUUUAUCUAUCUACUUCUUAUAUGGUAGCUUGAGUUGUGCCGGUUAUAGCUAAAAUGGAACAGUUUAUACCACAGCCGGAACAUCUGGUAGGGCUAAAAGUACACCCAUUAUACCGUGGCCACUUCUAUCUAUCAACUUCUAUAUGGUAGCUUUGGGUUUAUGCGGUCUAAGCUUAAAAUGGAACAGUUAUACCACACCCCGAACAUCUUAGGCUAAAAAGCACACUCACAAUUACCUCACCAAUCUAUAUGUCAUUUCUAUAUGGUACCUUGCUGUGUGUUAUAGCUUUUAAAAUAGAUAUUUAUACCACUCCUCGGAACAUCUGUAGUGUUAAGAGUACACCCAUAUAUCUGCCAUUUUAUCUAUCAUCUUCUAUACGGUAGCCUUGGAGUUGAUGCAGUUACAGCUUAAAAUGGAACAUUAUUACCACACCCCGAAGAAUCGUAGGGCUAAAAAGCACAGCUCAAAUUACCUCCAUAUCUAUAUGUCCACUUCUAUAUGGUACCCGUUUAUGUGGUGCUGUUAUAGCUUAAAUUAGAACAGCUUUAUACCACGUCCUCGGAGACCUCUGUAGUGUAAAAGACACCCAGUAGUAGCUGCCACUUUUUAUCUAUCUACUUCUAUUAUGGUAGCCUUGGUUUUAGGUAUACAGCUUAAAAUGUGAAAAGUUAUACCACACCCGAAAACAUCUUGUAGGGCUAAAAGCCACACUCAAAUACCUCCCAAUCUAUAGUCCACUUCUAUAUGGAUACCCUUAGUUGUGCUGCUAUAUAGACUUAAAAUAAGCACAUUAUACACUCUGGAACAUCAGUGUUAAAAGUACACCAUUUAACCUGCACUUUAUUCUAUCUAUCUUCUAUAUGGUAGCUUGCGUUUUACGGUUACCAGCUUAAAUGGAACAUCUUAUACCAACCCGAAAAUCUGUGGCCUAAAAAGCACCACUCAAAUACCUCCCACAUCUAUAUGUCCACUUCUAUAUGGUACCCUUUAGUUGUGCUGUUAUAGCUUAAAUUAGAACAGUUAUACAUUCUCGGGAACAUCUUUUAGUGUUAAAGUAACCUAUAUACCUGUCACUUUAUCUUAUUACUUUAUAUGCGUAGCUUGGGUUUGUGCGGUUUAUAGCUAAACAUGGAACAGCUUAUACCACAGCCCGGAACAUCUGUUAGGGCUAAAGAGAUACUCCCAUAUACCUUUCCACUUCUAUCUAUCAACUUCUUAUGGUAGCUUGGGUUUUGCGGUUAAGCUUAAAUGAAACAGUUAUACCACACCUCGAAACAUCUUAGGGCUAAAAAGCCACAUCAAACUAACUCCCACAUCUAUAUGUCCACUUCCUAUAUGGUACCCUUUAGUUGUGCUUGUUAUAGCUUAAAAAUAGAACAUCUAUACACUUCUCGGAAAUCUGUUAGUGUUAAGGAGUACACCAGUAUACCUGUCACUUUUUAUCUAUCUACUUUACUAUGGUUAGCCUUGGUUGUGCGGUAAUACUAGCUUAAUGGAAACAGUUAUACCACACGCCCGGAACAUCUGUUCAGGGUAAGAGAUACACCCAUUAUACCUUCCACUUUAUCUAUCAACUUCUAUAUGGUAGCUGGGUUUUGCGGUUACAGCUUAAAUAUGGAACAGUCUAUACCACACCCCGAGAAACAUCUAUUUAGGGCUAAAAAGCACACUCAAAUACCUCCCACAUCUAUUAUGUCCAUUUCUAUAUGGGUACCCUUGAUUGUGCUGUUACUAAGCUUAAAAAUAGAAUAUUAUCCAAUCCGGAACAUCUGCUAGUGUUUAAAGAAUGUAACACCAUAUACCUGCCACUUUUAAUCUAUCUACUUCUAUAUGUGUAAGCCUUGGGUUGUGCGGUUACAGCUUAAAAUGGAAACAGUUAUACCACACCCGAAAAUCUGUAGGGCUAAAAAGCCACUCAAAUUACCUCCCAAAUCUAUUAUGUUCCACUUUCUAUGAGGUACCUUUAGUUUGUGCUGUUAUAGCUUAAAAUAGACAGUUAUACCACUCCUCGGAACAUCUCUAGUGUUUUAAAGAGUACACCCAUAUACUAGCCACUUUUAUCUACUUACUUCUAAUUGGUUAGCCUGGGUUUACGGUUACAGCUUAAAUGGAACAGUUAUUACCCCCCCGAAACAUCUGUAGGGCUAAAAGCACACUCAAAUACCUCCACAUCUAUAUGUCACUUUGCUAUAUGGUACCUUUAGUUGUGCUGUUAUAGCUUAAAACUUAGAACAUUAUACACUUUCUCGGAACAUCUGUAGCUGUUAAAUGAGUAACACCCAUAUACCUGCCACUUUUAAUCUAUCUACUUCUAUAUGUAGCCUUGCGGUUUUUACGGUUACAGCUUAAAAUGGAACAGUUAUACCACACGCCCCGAAACAUCUGUAGGGCUAAAAAGCACACUCAAAUAUCCUCCCACAUCUAUAUGUCCCACUUCUAUAAUGCGUCACCUUUAGUUGGCUGUUAUAGCUUUAAAUAGAACAGUUAUACGCACUCCUCGUAACAUCUUGUUAGUGCUUAAAUUGUACAACCCAUUAUACCUACCACUUCUCUCUAUCUUACUUCUAUAAUUGGAUAGCUUGGGUUUUCGGUUACAGCUUAAAAUGACAGUUAUACCACACCUUCGAAACAUCUGUUUAGGGCUAAAAGCAACACUUCAAAUACCUCCACUCUAUGUCCCACUUGCUAUAUGGUAUCCUUUAGUUGUACUGUAUAGCUUAAAAUAGAAAGUUAUCCAUCCUCGGAACAUCUGCGGAGUGUUAAUAGCUACACCCAUAUACCUACCACUUACUAUCUAUAUCUACUUCUUAUGGUAGCCUGGUUUACGGUUACAGCGUUAAAAGUGAGACAUUAUACCACACCUCGAAAAUCUGCUAGGGCUAAAGCACACUCAAAUACCUCCCACAUCUAUAUGUCCAUUCUUAUAUGGUACCCUUUAGUUAUGUUACUGUUAAUAGCUUAAAAUUGAACAGUUAUACACUUCUCGGAACAUCUGUAUUGCUUUAAAAGAGUACACCACUAUUACCUGUGAUUUAUCUAUCUAUCUAUUAUUGGUAGCCUUGGUUGUGCCUUCAUAGCUUUAAAAUGUGAACAGUUUUACCACAGGCCGGACCCGGAACAUCUGGUAGGGCCUAAAGAGUACAGCCAUAUACCUGCCACUUUAUCUAUCUACUUCUAUUGGUAGCCUUGGUUUUGCGGUUACAGUCUUAAAAUGGCAACCAGUUAUACACACCCCCGAAACAUCUGUAGGGCUUAAAAGCACACUCAAAUACCUCCAUCCAUAUGUCCUUUCAUAUAUGGUAUCCUUGUUGUUGCUGUUAUAGCUUAAAAUAAAAUCAGUCUUAUACCACUCCUUCGGAACAUCUGUAGUGUUAAUAGAUUACACCAUAUACCUGCCACUUCUAUUCUAUUACUUUCUAUAUUGUAGCCUGGGUUGUGCGGUUGACAUUGCUCUUACAAAUGGCAACAGUUUAACCACACCCCGAAACAUCUGUAGGGCCCUAAAGCAGAACACUCAAAUACCUGCAAUCUAUAUGUCACUUUUAUAUUGGUACCUUUUACACUUGUGCUGUUAUAGCUUAAAUUAGAACAGUUAUACCACACCUCGGAACAUCUGUAGGGCUAAAGAGUACACCCAUAUACCUGCCACUUCUAUCUAUCUAUUUCCAUAUGUUAGAAUUGGAUUGUGCGGUUCUAGCUUAAAAUGGAACAGUUAUACCACACCCCAGAAAAUCUGUAGUGCUAAACCACUCCCCUAUAUGCCAGCUAGAUACAUAUGUCCACUUCUAUAUGGCAGCAUUAACCUCGUCGCGCGUCGGGCCUGCAAAUAAGUGAUUAAGGAGGACUUGAGCGCUAACUGAAGGUGAAUCUGACACUUUUGUUGCUAUUGUAGUUGCGACAGCGACGACACUCAAUACUUACCUGCGCCUCCUCAACCGGCGCAGGGACAUCAUCAAUCUCAACAGGUGCCAUUGCACUUUCUGAAUGUCUAUCUCCGAUACGAUAACUCUCAUAAAAUUAUUUUGCAAACAUAAUAAAAUUUGGAUAACAUCUCAUCUAUAAUAAAAUCGGAGAAAAUGACAUCAUGGUAAAUUGACACAUUACAUCAAUAGGAUAAAUUGACUAGACUUUUAUCAACAACUGACAUUACACAAAAUACAUCAAGAAUAUGAUUAAGCAGAAUACAAGAUUACCAGUCACAAAUUCACAAUUGCACAUUUACAGUCAUAUAUGAAAUAUCUGUGAACGACCACUCACAAUGUGCACAAUUGUACAUUCACAAUCAUAUAUAUACAAAUUGCCCAGUACCAUUCACAAUUGCACAAUAAUAUAUAAACACACUGUACAGUACCAGUAACAAUUGUAAAAUCCUAUAACAUUCAGACAUCGUCUUUUGCGACUAUGCACUCAAUCAUAGAAGUAUAGGUCAGACAAUAUGGAUCCUUUAAGAUCGCGCUGACCAUAUGAGCACGGAAGGAGCGGGGGUCAUCAUCGUAUAAUGAUAGAUCGGGGAGGCCGUUUCUUACGAGUCUUUCGGCAAAAAGGCAUGUGUACAUGCCACAAUCAACUUCGAUGGAACCCUGUUGUUGACAUUCCUUAUGAAAUAUGACGUCAGGAGCGCCGACAGGGAUUUCGAGGAUGUGCUCAAAAUAGGACGCAAACCAUUUCGCCUUUCCAAGACAAAAAAAAGGGUUAAUUAAUUCAAACCAGUAGAUAGUAGAUGUUACUGUCGCGUUAAUAAAUAACUAAAACACUCUGUCUACUGAGAAGAAUAAAAUAAUACCAGCAGCUGUGCCGCGUCCUGUGACCCGCUGUGGCUCCACAAAGAGUUCCAACUCUCAAAACGCCGUUCUUUCAAAUCAAUCGAUAGCAAAUGCCAAUGCCAAUUACUAUGUAACGGAAUAAGUACAUAUCUACAAGUAUUGCAGGUUUGUGUAUUUAAUUUUUCCACAAAGUGACGUAUAGAUGCGGAUCCAAAUGCCACAUCCUUCACAAAAUCAGCUGUUACUGGAUUAUUCUUUCCAUAUUCCUGCAUCUUAUUGAGUACGUGCAUCUGCAUAGAAACAGAAAACAAGAUAGCAUCUUCAGUGAAGGCUAAUAGUGAUCUUCAGAAAACAAGAAAGCAUGUUCAGAAAACAAGAUAGUAUAGAAACAGAAAACAAAAUAGAUAACAACUAAUAUAAUAGUGAAGGCAUCAAACUCACCGCAACUUCAGUUCGUAAGAAAAUACCCGGUUGAUUAAAUUUAUGUACACCACAGCAAUCGAGCUUAUCAAUUAUAUGAAAUAUACAUUAAUCACCUAAAUAAAACAAUCAGCAAAACAAUGAGAAUUAGAAUAAUAUAUAUAUAAUUAGAUAUGUAUAUAACAAGCUAUAAGCGCCAACUACAAUGCAUAAUCUGUGCCAGCACUAACCUCGUCGCGCGUCGGGCCUCCAAAUAAGUAAUCAUUGAGGACUUGACCACUAACAGAAGGUGAAUCUGACCCUUUUGUAUUAUCUUGCCAUAUGGGUCCCCUAUAAAAAGAACAUUUAAUUAAUAAUACGAAAGAAAUUAAUGUUCUGUCCAGCUAAGGUAGAAUAUUUGACCAAAAAUAUCUAAUCCUAACUAAUCACUACAUGUAUAUAAGGAUUGACGAACUUUGUUAUAGGUCGGGAAAUUAGAAAAUCUAUUGCGUCCUGCUCCACUUUGGGAAUUUUAUCUCUUCCGGGAUACUUGCGACGACGCUCAAUAAUGACCCCAGGCUCCUGAUCCGGUACAGGGAUAUCAUCAAUCUCAACGGCUUGUUUUGCACUAUCUGAGUGUCCAUGUUCAGCUUUAAUUUCCUAUAUUGAACAAACUCACGUGAAAAAGUCAUAUUUUAUAUGAUAUAAGUUUAUUCGCACUAAACUUAAUCAUGUAUAUCAUACCAGAAGGACCUCAGCAAUGGUCCCUGUCGCAGUAUCUGAUGCCUCUUCACUAGCUUCAGCCCCCCCGAUCUUCAAAGAAUGAUGCUGCUUUCGUCUAUAGUGCCGGGUCAAAGGACGUUCGCCCGGCGUAAAAUCAGGAGACAUUCUCUUUUCUUUCCUUGCACGAUGUUUAAUUCGUUGAAUUCUUGAAGGAAUGUCCCUUAUUACAGUCUCGCCAACAUCAACUCUCUGUUGGCUGCUUUCUUCAACCGCUGCGCCUUGGCCACCUUGAUGUGGAUCAACACCGGCUUCGGCUCCGCCUUCUGCAGCAGCGGCUGUACUAGCGCUAGAUAGUUGCGCUUCAAGCUUUGCAUUUUUUUCUUUUAGCAUUGCAUUCUCCCCCUCCAACAUCUUAUUCCGAUCUUGUAGUUUAUUAAGAGCUUGCUCCAAUUGAUUCAAUAAGGAGCUGAUAUUAUUGCUACUUUCACCGGCAGCAGUUGUUGCCGCGGGGGCCGCUGCCUGUACCACAUUCGAGAGAGAUGUACGAAAGGACAAUAUCACAAUUUGACAAAUAAAAUCUACCAAAAUAAUAUUUUCUACUACCUCAAUUCAGUAAUACCUGUUCCGGUCGGCUGCCACGUAACGUGGGCUUCAAUAUAGACAUAUCAUUAGGGCGGUAAGUAAAUGUGGGUACAACCUGCCAAAAAGAUAAAUCUAUUUAAUAAGUAUUAUAAGAAAAUUAUAAAACUACAUUCCUUACAGAAAUGGUUACCUCUGCAGGAGUAUAGCUCUGCAGCUUUGUUAGAAGCUUCUCAUAACUCCGGUAUGCUUUUGAACCCUUCCAUUUUCUCAUCCGAGGGACAUCCUUGUCUCCGUCGGAAGUACCCAACCCCUUUAUAUGCUCAUAAGCCCAACUCUGUAAGUUUAUCAAGAAUUGCGAUAUUAAAAAACUAUGCAACAGAUAUUCUAUUGACAAAAUACAUCAAGGAUAUUACUUACUAAAAAUGCUAUUGUACAUCCGUCAAUAUAGCCGGCAAGUCUUUCUUGGCCGCUAUUCCGAUGCUUCACACGCGGGGAUGCUCUGGAGAUCGAGCUGACAAGAUAAUUACAUACAGCAUGGCCCCAGGCAUAUUCCCCUAUUCUAUGCACAUCAUCUAUAUAUCUAUAUAUCGCCUUCGGCACAAUGUAGUGGCUGGUCGGAAAAAGGACGGUCGCAAAUACGUAUAAUAUAAAUAUACGCGCAAAAUCAGCUGCCAUCUCCUCUCCAUUCUGACCAGCAAUACUGUACAAAAUAUGUCUUAAUUUCGACCUAUCGGCAUGCCGAUAGUCACCAUCGAAAUAUUUAUCAAGAGUGCUCGACUUUACACUCUUGCUCUGCCAUUCUAUUGGUUCCCCCUCUGCUGGCAGCCCUACCAAAAUGGAUAUUUCCUCUGGACUAAAAGGAAGAAAUGUUUCUCCAAUUCUAAUACAUCUUCUCUCUUCGUCCCAAAAACUGAGGAGGCAAUCGACUAACACAAGAUCUUGUUUAAUUGGAGGCAAGUCGACAUAAGAAAAGAAUGGAGUGGUCUUCAGAAGUGCCAUCUGUUCAUCGGACAUUACAUCACGUAAUGCGGGGCCAGCUGUUUGAAUUCUACCCGCGGUCUUCGGCAACUCUGAAACACACAUUGUGGUGUGCAGAUGAACUGGGUAACAUCUGCCCACAACAAGCUCCAUGGCCGCCCUUUUAGCUUGGGAUAGCCUCUCUUUUCUUUUCUCUGCAGAAUGCGCAGAUGUGCCUUCACCACUUGUAGUGGCCUUCUUGCUCGACUUGGCUCUGGUGGAAACCAUUUUUUCACCUGCAUUUUAUAAACCACAAGUAAGCACAUAACUUCGUUCUGAAAGUAACGAGAAAAUAGUGUUCUAUUAAGCUCAAAGAGUGUUCUAUUCUACUAUAACAAAAGAGUAUUGACAAUCAUAAAGCUAGCUAUUAAGAGUAUUCUAUUAACCUUUACAACUGUUCUAUUAUGGCAUAAAAGUGUUCUAAACCAAAAAACUGAUAGCAGUGUUCUAUUAAGCUUUAUAAUAGACAUAAAAGAGUAAGAUUGCAAUGUAUACAUGUUCGCAAGUGUAAACUUGAUAAAACUGUUUUAUUAGCUCUAAGAGUGUUCUAUUCUACUAUCACAAAAGAGUGUUCACAACCAUAAAGCUAGCUAUUCUACAAUGACAAAAGAGUAUUGACAAUCAUAAAGCCAGCUAUUAAGAGUGUUCUAUUAACCUUUACAUCUCCAUAAAGUCUAUUAUGGCAUAAAAGUGUUCUAAUCCAAAAAACUGAUAGCAGUGUUCUAUUAAGCUUUAUAAUAGACAUAAAAGAGUAAGAUUGCAAUGUAUACAUGUUCGCGAGUGUAAACUUGAUAAAACUGUUCUAUUAAGCUCUAAGAGUGUUCUAUUCUACUAUGAGAAAAGAGUGUUGACACCAUAAAGUUAGCUAUUAAGAGUGUUCUUUUAAUCUUUACAACUGUUCUUUUAUGGCAUAAAAGUGUUUUAUUCUACUAUGAUAAAAGAGUGUUGACAACCAUAAAGCUAUUAAAAAUAUUCUAUUCACCUUUACAACUGUUCUAUUAAGCCUUAAGAGUGUUCUAUUCUACUAUGACAAAGGAUUGUUGACAAUCAUAAAGCUAGCUAUUAACAGUGUUCUAUUUAACCUUUACAACUGUUCUAUUAUGGCAUAAAACUAUUAUAAAGCCUAAAACUGAUAGCACACUUUCAUUAAGUUUUAAGAAUGUUUUAUUAAGUCAUAAGAGGGUAAGAUUGGAAUGCAUACAUGUUCGCAACUGCAAAUCUGAUAAAAGUAUUCUAUUAUGCUCUAAGAGUGUUCUAUUUUACUAUGACAAAAGCGGGUAAGAUUGAAGCCUUAAAACCAUGAUAUAGCAACAUAAUUGGAAGUACAGAAGAUCUCCCAGAUAUCUCAAUUAAUCAGUAAUGUUGAUCUCCAAAGUAUAGAUUUUUGAACUCCCAUACAUCUCAAUUAAUCAGUCAAUUGAUCUCCGAAAUAUAGAAACAUGAAAAACUCAAAAAUGCACGUGUGCGUGAAUUCAAUUCAAAGAGAAACAAUCCACAAUGCUCAUAUUCUUUCUUCUUCUUCUUUUUUUCUUUGCUAAGUUUUGUAGAUCCCCAACUGUCAUUCCAAAUGUAUACCACAUAAAUUAAAAACUACCGAUAAAUAUAAGAAAUUUAAGAACGAUAUCUACAAAUCAAGGUUUAAGUAUUCUAUUAUACUCUAAGAGUGUUCUAUUCUACCCAUACACCCUAUAUUGAGUUGUUCUAUUAUCCUUUACAAUUAUUCUAUUAUGCCAUAAACGUAAUUUUUUCUUUUAAUAGCACGACGGAUACAGUGUUCUGUGAAACUUUAAGAUAUGUUUGUUCUAUUUCCUUAAUCAUAUAGUUUUUUUGGUGUGUAGUAAUUGACAUGUUUGCUAUAUCAGUGUUCGCAACAAUUAACUGAAAAGUUAAUUUUCUUUAGUUUGUAUCUCUCCAGAAUGUGUCUAAUGUCGAUGAGAUUAAACAGACAAUCAUAAAGCUAAUAAAAAGUAUCUAUUUAAAGCUGAAAAAGAAGGUUCUUUUUAGCAAAAAUAAGUUAGUGGUCAAGGUUAUUUGUGUUUAAGCAUUUAUAUUUUGUUGUCGCAAAACACAAAAUCUUAUAGAAUAGUUUUGUUCACCAAAAGAGGUGUUCUUCUUCUAUAUAUGCUCUAAGGUAUAAAUACCUUUAUCAUAAGAGACAGAUUGAUUUUGUUUUUUUUGCUUUUCGUUUAGUUGUUACAUGAAUCUUAUGCCAAAAACCAAUACAUUAUUAUAAGAUUUAAAACAUAUAUUAAUUUGUUUUCAUACAAUUAUAUUGCACUAAAAAGUCAUAGAAAAAUGCUUUAUUUUACAAAUCCAACAAUAAAGUUAAUAUACCAGCUGAGAAUUCCCUAAAAUAAAGUAAUAGCUAGGCUGAGGAAAAUCCGCAGCACGCAAAGAAGAUACCCUAGCAUGCAACCCUAAACCCCUCAAAUAUAAUUUAUAUUAAAUUUAAAUAUUAGAAAAAGAUUAUUAGAAAAACAAAAAUUUUCCUAAUUGAUGUAGUUAUAUCUUCUGUUUCGGUUUUUUGUUGUCGAUAGUACCCAUUAAUCUUUCCAAUUCGUGUACGCUUAUUUGUUCAUGAUAUUAUUGAAAGGCGUUCAAACCAGGUAUUGGAUUUGAUAGGGGAGCAUUUAGAGCGACCUUUUCCCUUCACCAAUGGAGGAAAGGAGGCCCCCUGGUGAUGAGAUCACCUUUUUUAGACGGGCUCAGCGACACCAGAUCUGGUGGAACGAUGCGCGUGCCGUAAUACUUCUGCCCAAUUGUGGUUGAGUUGUAUGCCCCGUGCGAGCGAUGAAAGCAGAGAAAGAGAAAAGGGAGUAGCGCUUGAGAUGAAGUAGAUAUAAGUACCGAGAGAGGCGCGAGAAUUCCUAAAGAGAGGUCGAGGGAGCUCGAUUUGCGCGUUGUUGGACCUGGUUGAAGAGCGGGCGGGACCGGGAAAGGUUAAAGGUGUAUUACGGGAGAUUUUUUGAUUUUGAUUUGUGAUGGAGAGAUGUGUAGUAGGGUUUUAGCCUUAAGGAAGAAAAAAUAAAAAAGGGUGUCUUGAAAAAGUUUGUGAAGGUUAUGCUAAACGUUGUGCCUAUAAAAAUAGUGCCGGUUGACUCAUUAAUUUUUUUUUUUUGUCUGUUGUAGGUUUGUAUAUUAUUUCAUGCCUUCUUUUUGUUUUUUUUUGUUGUUUGUUAUUUAUUGGUAUUUGUAUGCUAUUGGUUAAGUUAUCUUUUUUUUGUUUCCCCGUUUGUAUAUUUUAAAUUUUCAUAUAGAUAAUUAAUCCUUUGUAUUUUUGUUCAACAUAGUCUAAUGAUGGUAUUUUUUAUGUUUGCCAGUUUUGUUUUUUUUGCACCAUGCAACUUGAAUAUAUUUAAUUUGUAAACAAGUUGUCCAUCAUUAUUACCAAAUAAUAUCUUACCUUUCCUUUCUGAUUUUGCUAUAUUAUUUUAUCUAUUUUGUAUAUUUUUUUUUUUUUUUUUUUAUAUGUCUUUUUUUUUUUUAUUAUUUUUUUAUAUUUUUCUUCUCUUUUUUUUCUCCUUUUUUCUUAUGUUGUCUCUUACAGUUCUUUUUAUUUUAUUUAAGGAAAAUGGUUCAAAUUGUAAUGCGACCAAUAGAGCAUUCACAGUCCCCAAGUAGAUCUAUAAACCUCCAUCUUAGUUUAAUAAAAAUAAAAACUCAGCCCCUUACCUAAAAAUUUAGAAGUAGAAUUUACUUUAAAUUUUAAAUAAAAUUGAUUAUUUAAAAUAAUAUAUUUUAAAACCCGAAAUCAACAAUAGAUCUCACUAACCUGUUAAAUAACAAUUUUGUCGAAACUCCAUCUUCUAUUAACUCUAUUAUAUCGUUAUAUCAAGGUCCUAUUUAAUAGGAUUAACUCAACAUAAGUAAGAACUGAAAUUUGUUUAUCCUUUCAGACCCAGAUACGAAACCUUCUUCUUCAAAAAAUUUUAAUCUUUAAAAAGGGAAAAUAAAAUUCUAUGUAAAUACUGUUUUCAUCCCAUCACCUCCGCAUAAACCUUGCUUUCCAAAAAAUCUAGGGCGCGUAUUGGUUCGCCCAUGUUCUUCAACCCCCUGGAAGGCAAUUCGAAAUGGACAAAUCCUUUGUCCGUUUAGUAUCGGCGGGAUUCCCAUCCAAUUCUGAUUCCCGGUUGCCGUUCCUGAGACCCUAGAUGAAACUUGAAAUCGAUAAAGGAUUUAUUCACGAUUAAAUUUAAUUGUUAAAAACUUAUUUUAAUUUACAAAUAAUAAACUUAAGUUUAAAAAUUAUAUUUAUAAAUUAAAUUUAAUUUGACACGUAAAUAAAAUGAAAAUCAAUCAAGCAUUUUCGAAUCUAAUUUUACAAACUUGAAUUUAAAUUUAAAUUUAAUUUAAAAUCUAAAGUUUUAUUUAAAAUUUAAAUUUAAUUUAUGGAUUCAAAUUGAAAUUGAAAUUAUAAUUUUAAGUUUGAACUUAAAUAAAUCGAAAUUUAGUUUUAUAUUUUGAAUCAUCUGUUCAAUUUCAAAUUUUAAUUUUUUUAAAAAAUAUAUUUAAAAUUUUGACAUCAUUUUAAAAUUUUGACGUAAAUUUUAAUAUUUAAUUUUUAGUUUGAAUUUAAACGAAUAUAUUAUAAAGAUAAAUUUGACAUAUUAAUUUGAUUACGUUUCUAAUAUCUAUCUGAAUCAAAUACCGACAAUAAGAAUUAUUCAUUUCGAUUCUUAUUCAGGUGGCCAACAAAAUAGAAUGAGGCAAUGAAUCAUUCCAAUUUUGUUUCCGCCUUAUUCUCAUUCCAAUUCUGAUAUCGUUUUCAACUUCGAACCAAACACACCCUAUAUUUUAUCUUCUCAAAAUUUAAAGUUGAUGGAUUUAAACGUCCUUCGAUCGUCAGAGUUCCGUCACUACUAUUCGGUCUAUUUUUUAUAAUUUAUACUGAAGAUACCCUAAAAUUGUUAGAAAUGACAUUAAAAAAAAAUUAUUUUUUUCUUAACAAGUAAAGAAAAUUUAGUCAUCUUAGAAAGUAAAAAAUAUGGAUAUUUAUAAGGGGAUGUUUUUUUAUUUUAGCCAAUAAAUAAAGUUUUUAUAAGGGUACAAAGCAUUCUCCAAAUACAUAAUACGAGUAGCUGAAGGCAUGCACCAACUAAUUUGAUGCAUCGACUUUUACACACACAUACAUUGAAAAUAAAAUAAAAUAAAAAACACAUAUAAGAUAACAUCUGCAUAUAUCGAUCAUCAUUUUCAAUUUUCCUCAAGCACGGAUUAUUUAGAAGAUUUGAGGCGAAAAAUAUGAAAGCAUCAAGCUCGGCCGGUGCAUUGCAAAAAGCGCACAAACUCAGCUACAUGAUAUGGAAUCAUUGAAUCCUUUCUUUGACAAGCUUGCCGUUUCCGUCUGGUUCGAACCAAAUAGAAAAAUUCGAGAUAUGGCGAACCCUCGUGCGCCAGUCAUUGCUGUGGUCGCCUUCUCCUUCUGCUCGAAGCAGCUCAGCAAGUUCCUCUGCUGGAUAGCCAAUGUCUAAAUCCUGAAGGGUGGUAAGGUACUCGAUGCCGUGGGGCAGCUUCUUUAGCUCUGGGCAACGGUAUACGUCUAGCUUUUUCAGGUUUGCCAUUGCUCCUUUUUCUAUUUCCACCUGAUUGAGCUGCAGGGCAUUUGCUAUACGCAAUUCCUUUAGCUUCGGGAAUGAUGUUGCUUGGAAGUGCAACUUCAUGCCAUCAUAUGCAUCAAAAAGUUCGAGAAGCAUCAACGCAGGCAGCGCUUGCAGGUAAGGAAACGUAUCUUCGUCCAAUUUUGCAUAUGUAAGUGAUAAUGCGGUUAGGUUUGUUAGAGACCCAAAGGAUGUGGCAAGCUCAGGGACUGAGUUUUUGUCUAAUUUACCCCACAGCCAUAAUUCUUUAAUUGGUAGAGGUAGGUGCAAGGUGCCCAACUGCUGUAAUUCUUGCCCAUAUUCACUCCCGAUAAAUAAAUUGCUAAGAUGGUUCAUCUUUGUGAUACUAUUCCACAAGUCCGCACAGUGAUGGGUUCUUACGCCCGUUAUUGAAAAUGUCCGCAACUCUGUCAAAGCUUCUACAUUCCGCACAAUCUUCCUAGUUGCACAAAUGUUUGCCAAACUCUGCAAGCCCUUCAAGCGCCAUAUUCCCACCGGUGCCUUGAUGUUCUUAUCCAAAUUGCCGGACAAAACUAGAUGUCUCAACUUUUGAAGCUCUGUUAUUCCUUUUGGCACCUUUUCUAUUUCACUUUCACAUGUAUCUAAUAUUUGCAGAUUUUGUAGCUUCCCGAUUGAUCUUGGAAGCUCCUUAAUUUUUGUUGCUCGCAAGCCUAGAUAAUGCAGAUUGAAUAGGUUACAGAUCUCACUCGGUAGUUUCUCGAUUAGCGCUCCUUGUAGUUCCAAGACACGUAAAAAUUUUGAUGAUCUUAAGAUCGACUUCAGUAAAUCAUAGCUCAUGGAAUUGUUGAAAACAAGUACUGAACGCAAAUGAGAUUUGUCUUCAGUACAAUAAUUAGGUAUAUUGCUUAGGAUUGACAAGCGGCAUGCUUUGGACCUCUGCGGUUUUGUCUGAGAAUGCUCAUAAACCAUGCAAAAGUUUAACUCCUUUGACUCUGAAAGAGCGAGGACUCGAAUGAUGUCAUGCAUUCGAUAUGCACAAACUCUUCCAAUUUCGUCCCACUCAGCCACUUGUAGUAGACAGCGAUGAACAAGUUCGUUAAGGUAGUCCUCAGCCACUUCCUCCAUCGUUAUUCCUCUUUCUUCAAUGAACCCCUCAGCCACCCAAAGCCUUAUGAGCCUCUCACUUUUAAUUGUAUAGUCUUCCGGAAAGCUAGAACAAUAUAAGAAGCAAUUUCGAAGGUAAUGGGGAAGAUCGUCCAAACUAAGUUUCAAAAUGUCAUGUACUUUUUCAUGGAGCUUCGAUUCACUGUUUGUUAGAUACCACUCAAGAUCUUUGUAAACCUUCUCCCACUCAGAACCGGUUUGUUCUCGAAAUGAUAAGAGACGGGCUAUAGAUACGAUAGCAAGGGGCAAGCCACCGCACUUCUCGGCAAUUUGUUUAGCACAUUGUUCUAAAGGCGGUGGGCAAGUCUUCUUUGCACUUUUCCAAAAUGUGUUUUUACAAAAUAGAUCCCACGAAUCAUUUGCCUCCAGUUUCUCUAGCUCAAGCAUACAGUGAUCGUUAGCUAAUAGUGCUACUUCAUGAUUCCUUGUUGUGAGAACUAUUCGACUCUUGCUAUUACUAUUCAGAAGUGCAUUCCUUAUAUUGUCCAGUACAUCAGCACUCCAAACAUCAUCUAGAAUAAGUAGUACAUAGUUUUUACAUUGCAAGUAAGUGCGGAUAGUCUCAACCAAGCUUCUGCGAUCCAUGGUAUCAAUGUCGUUCGGUGCUUGUCUUUUCUCAUGAUCUUCCCUAUAAAACUCUUUUAACAUCUGUCUGAGGAAAUCAUCAGUCUCAUAACUUUGAGAUACAGCAACCCAGGCACAAGCAUCAAAGGUAGCUUUGAUGAUUUUGUACACAUGAGUUACGAGAGUUGUCUUCCCUAGACCACCCAUCCCCAACACUCAGAUUGUCAUGUGCUGCCGUUGCUGCUCAUCCUCAUCUUUCAACCAUCUGAGCAACAAGUCCUUGUACUUGUCAAUACCCACGAUAUCAUCCUCCUCGACAAAAUGUGCUAAUUCUGCACGGCUCUUGCUAUCGCCAACAGCUAUUUGAGAUUUUGCUUCACUUUCCAUUCCUCUUGUAUCAUAUCUUGUCCUUCUCUCCAUAAUGUUUUGGAGCUUAAUUUUGAUCUCUCUAAGCCUCUUGCUAAGGCGAUGCCAAGUUGUUAUAUUUCUGCACCCCUUGACUGUUUUAGGUAGGACGCCUCCUUGCUCUUCACCGAGCUUGUAUGUGAACUCAUCUAUAAUAUCCUCAAUGUCGAAAGCCAAGUCUCUCAUUUGUUUUAUAAAGAUUUUUGUGCUCUCAUCCUUCUCUUUUUGUCUUUCUGCGAUCCGUAGGAAGGAUAGCAUGCUCUCAAGCUCGUCCUUAAUGUCACUUAUAUCCUCCACAAGUUCUUUCAUUGCUGAUAUCCAUGAUUUUGUUGCUUUAGUUGCUUCACUAGCUAAGGCAGUACCAAUAUUCAGGAGUAAUGAGCUUACCGCAGCCUCCGCCAUAGGCACUUCCUCUGAAUUGAGCCUAAAAUAAACAAUCUUUUCAAAUUAUCAUGUCUCUUUAAAUGCACCACUAGCAAAAAUGAUUAUUUUUUAACGCUCUUAUGAUUCAAGGCAAUUUUCGUAAAAAAUAUGUAAUUGUCUCAUCAACCGGAAUAACUCUGUAGUGCACUAAACAAACACUUGUUAGAAUCCUCAGUUAAAAAGAAGAAACACCAGUAACAGUAUUGUAGUCUGGAAGAACAAAAAGCAAUAACUUGUUUGAGAUUCAGUUUAACAAAAUUUUGAGAUGAAAGAUUCAUCAUAACUAGUCAUGCUGAACUCGACCUCAAUGUAUAUUUGUAGAGCAAGUUGUGAAAAAGUCCUUUAGAGGAGAAUGAAAUCAAUAAAGAGUCGGAAAGUAAAUCAAUCUGUUGCUAGCCAGUGAAGUAGAUGGUAUCGUAUUAAGCGUGAUUGUAAAUUAUUUUACAAUUAACAAUUAUAAAUCGAGUUUCUUUUGAAGCCCUCUUCUUGUUCAUAAUUAAGUUAAUAUAUAUCAGGACUACAAGUCAUUUGAGCAAGAAACUAUUAGUGCUUCUUUAAAUAGUUUUAUUUUGAUAGCAAUGUAAGAACUUGAAUUUUAGACUCUUGAAAGUACUCCCGUAUUUCUAAUAUGUUAAAUUUUAUUGCCUCGACAUUCACACUGCCUAUUAUCGGAUCAGAAUCUAGAAGUUCUACUUUUACUUCUUCGAAUUUGUGCUGCAAUUUGUAAUAUGAUGUAGAAGGUCACUUCUUUGUACAUUAGCAAGUUUAAAUCCAAAGAAAAUCACUAUUAAUUAAUUGCAUACUCUGUAUACUAUCCACUGCACAUUUCUUGAUGAUACUUAUAGUAUAUAACUAAGGAAUCAUUGUCGCUAUUGCUCUUGUUACCCGAAAGAUUGAUCUGAUAGUAAUCUCUUAAUUAAAGACUUAAGAUGUUUUACUCAUUUACAUGCUAAAUAACUCACGAAUGAUGUCAAUACACUGAUAGAAGAUGUAAAUAAAAUAGACAAACAAACUAAAUUUAAAUGCCGUUAAACUGCAUAUAUUAGUUGAGCUUUUGAUGACAAAUAAAAUCCUCUCAACUAUCUAGAUCAAGAUCUGCAACGAAGAUUGUGAAUUUAAGAAAUUUUUUUAAUUAUAUUUUUAGAAGGUUACUAAUUUUGACCAUUCAUAUUGUGCCCGCUUGGUGAGCAAGAAAAUAAAUUUUAAAAAUCAUAGAACUCUUUUUCUAGAAAGUUUAUAUAUCCUUAAUCAUCUUCCAUGGUACAUUGAUCAUCGAUUUAGAUGCUCAAUAAUCAACAAUAAAGUGAAAAUACUACAUGGGACCAAAUUAUUCUACCUUAACUAUUAUUAUCUCUUGUUUUCUUGUUUCCAAGGAUCAGGUGAAUCCAAACAACAUAUUAAUCAGCAAAGGCAUAUACUAUAUAUACUCCUUGUACCCUUUUGCAGAAUCAACUAGUUGAGAUAGCAAAGAAAAUAAAAAUUAAUUAAAAGUGUAGCGGAAGAAGAAGAACAACAACUAACCACAGAUCCAAAAAGGAUUAGAUUGAAGAGGGAGUUGCUCCAAGAUAAUUAAUCUCAAGUUUAACUAGAGAAAAUACUGCAACCAAAUUAAGAAGCUCUUGAAGUAGAUGUUUUAUAGGGAUUGAAGAGUGAGAGGAUGAGGAUGAACUAUAUUAUUUUACAAACAAAUAUAUAAUUGGGAGCAAAUGGUCUGGAGUGCAGUGGGUGAUGACGAACUAGUGCAUGCACCGGGGCCCGGCACUGGGUCAUGAAUUCGUUAAAAAAUUAUAUUUCGGACUACGAAUAUUUAAAAAAUAAUAAAUUUAUUAUCAUCGAUCCGUUGUAGAAAUCUAAAAGAAAAAAAAAUGAACGGGACAAAAAAAAAUAAUGCAAAUUAAUUUGUAGUCGUCAAAUACGACAUCCAUUGCGAGGCUUUCCAGCCUGGCUUGGAUCGGUGAAAAGGUAGGUUCAACUAACCAAUAAUAAUAAUAAUAUAUAUAUAAUUAUCUAAUGCAACAAUAUAUAGUUUGUAAUACAAAUACAAACAAUAAAUUAUAUUUUAUAUUAUGGCUGGUUUGUUUACUUUAUUUUUUAUCCGUGUUAAUUUUGCUUGCCUCUUUUCUGGCCAUGGAAGUAUAUAAAUGUAGAUAAUAUUUUAUAUUUAUGUUGAAAUAAGUAAUAAGAGCUAUAGGAUAAUUUUAAUAUAUAUAUAUANNNNNNNNNNNNNNNNNNNNNNNNNNNNNNNNNNNNNNNNNNNNNNNNNNNNNNNNNNNNNNNNNNNNNNNNNNNNNNNNNNNNNNNNNNNNNNNNNNNNNNNNNNNNNNNNNNNNNNNNNNNNNNNNNNNNNNNNNNNNNNNNNNNNNNNNNNNNNNNNNNNNNNNNNNNNNNNNNNNNNNNNNNNNNNNNNNNNNNNNNNNNNNNNNNNNNNNNNNNNNNNNNNNNNNNNNNNNNNNNNNNNNNNNNNNNNNNNNNNNNNNNNNNNNNNNNNNNNNNNNNNNNNNNNNNNNNNNNNNNNNNNNNNNNNNNNNNNNNNNNNNNNNNNNNNNNNNNNNNNNNNNNNNNNNNNNNNNNNNNNNNNNNNNNNNNNNNNNNNNNNNNNNNNNNNNNNNNNNNNNNNNNNNNNNNNNNNNNNNNNNNNNNNNNNNNNNNNNNNNNNNNNNNNNNNNNNNNNNNNNNNNNNNNNNNNNNNNNNNNNNNNNNNNNNUAUAUAUAUAUAUAUAUAUAUAUAUAUAUAUAUAUAUAUAUAUAUAAUUGAGCUAUUAUGUUUUUAAAAGUAUCAAGUCAUUGGUGCUUGUAAGUUUUCGGCCCUUGGAUUAAGGAAUAUGUGGUUAGAAUGAUGUGGGCCCUCUAGGGUUGAGUGAGUGAUUGGUUUAAUAGUAUGAUCUAACGGGUGAAAAUAAUCAAAGACGUAGGUUUAACGGUAAAAAAUUUACAAGCACCAAGUGGUUGGUACUUUUACAAGCACUAUAGCCAGACUCAUAUAUAUAUAUAUAUAUAUAUACAUAUAUAUAUAUAUAUAUAUAUAUAUAUAUAUAUAUAGUACGUCUCCCGUGCUUUCGAAAGUAUGGAGGUCUCCGUGCUUGUAAGUUGUUUUCGAUGAUAGGACAUCCGAUUCGAUGAUCGGCUCCGUUAGACAUAAUCUAUGCUAUUGGAACUAUUUAGAAACCAAAUUUUAUAAAUUUUUGACAUCAUUUACCAAACGAUCAUAGGGUCUCAAAAAUGACUAUUUUAACGGCCGAUGCGGCACGUUUUUAAGUUCAACGGUGUAGAAGUAUUCAAAUUACAUGAAACUUUAAUAGAAAAUUCUACUUAACAUCAAGAGCAAGAACAAUACUUCCGAUUUGAAAUUUGACUCCUUUAUCACUGUUUUUUAUGAGAUUUUUAUUUUUAGCUGUUCAUUUUGAGGUUACUCGUUCACCAGACAAAUGAAGUAAAAAUAUUAUAAAAUUUGGUUUGUAGAUAGUUCCAAUAGCGUAGAUCAUGUCUAACGGAACCGAUCACCGAAUUGAACGUCCUAUCAUCGAAAACAACUUACAAGCACGGAGGCAUCCGUACUUUUGAAAGCAUAAAGCCUAGCUCUCUCUCUCUCUCUCUCUCUCUCUCUCUCUCUCUCUCUCUCUCUAUAUAUAUAUAUAUAUAUAUAUAUAUAUAUAUAUAUAUGAGUUCGGCUGGGAUACUAUCGAUAGCACGAUACAUUUGGUGCUAUUAAGUUUUCUGCCGUUAGAUUUAUCUCUUUUAUUAUUUUUAACCGUUCGAUUAUACUAUUCAACUAACCACCCACUCAACCCUCGGGAGCCCACAUCAUUCUAACCACACAUCUUUUAAUCCAAUGGUAGAAAACUUAAUAGCACCAAGUGCCUCGUGCUAUUAAUAGUAUUCCAGCCUAGUUCUAUAUAUAUAUAUAUAUAUAUAUAUAUAUAUAGAGAGAGAGAGAGAGAGAGAGAGAGAGAGAGAGAGAGAGCAGGGCUGCUGUGCUCUCAGGAGCACGGAGCUCCUGAUCCGUUUUCGAUGAUGAAAUUUUUAAAUUGAUGAUCGGCUCCGUUAAACUUGAUUUAGGGUAUUUGAAGUUUCUAGAAAAUAAUUUUUGUGAUUUUUUGACAUCAUUUACCUAGUGAUCGAAAGGCUCGGGCUCAGCUGGUCACAACGACCAAGGCGGUGGUUGGGGAGCUAGGAGACGACGGCUGGGAGUCGCCGGAGGCCGGAGGAAGGCAACUCAGCAGGCUGUUGGCAGCAGCGGCGCGCAAGUGCGAUGCAGGCUAAGGCUUGGCCCAAGCUCGUGCAGGGUGGUCAUAGGGAGUAAGGCCGCGGCCAGCAGCCUGCGAGGACGACGAGGGCGGUGCGCCGAGGGUCGCCAGAGGCCCAGGAGGGUGGCGCGGCCGGCCAAGGGCGGCGGCGGCGCGCGGGCUAAGGUUUGUCCUGGACUCGACCCGAGAAGAUCUCAUUUGGCCGCGGGUCGUCCAGGGGCGACGGCGGCGUGUGCGGACGGCGGGCACCAGCGGUGACGGGGCCGGAGGUCAGGCCACGGCCGUGAAAGGGGGCCUCGACGCGUGAGGUUCACUCCUAGAGGUCUGCGACCAGGAAGAUGGCAGCUAGGUAGAGAUCUAGGAGGAGAGGAUGCAAUGAAUACUUUUCCGGCGGCCGGAGAUGCUCGCCGGCAACCGGAGUGUGCGCGCAGCUAGGGCAGGGAGGUGCUUGUGACAUCUGGGGAGCAGUUGAAGGAGCUAACUAACUAUGGUUAGGGUUUCAUGCCUGAAACCCUAACACCUACAUAUAUAUGUAAGAUAGUUUUGCAGAAAAGUCCUCCAAAGCUGAAUAUUUACAGCCCAGUCCCUCACAAUGCUUGUAUUACACGUGUACGCACCUCGACGUUUGAUUUCACGCAAAAUGGUACAUAAAAUAUGGUUUGUUUUGCAGAUUUUCCGUUUGUCAACUAUCAACCCCUUCUCGAUCUUCGCGCGAUAUCCAGAGAUCCAUCUGUCGGAUUUGUGAACGGAUUGCGCCCAUGCGUUCGGCACGACUGGGGCAUCAAACUCAUGAUUUCAUUUCACCUGAUAUGGUCGCCGAUUUGCUACGAAACCCAUCCACUCUCCAAUUUCCAAAAAUCUUUUUUGUGAUAAAAUUCUUUUUCUUGAAAACCGUGUAUCAGAUUUGAAAUCCGCCAACGCCAAUGGUUCCAGAAUAGUCGGACCAUUGAAAACGAGCUAUUGGACUGCUAUGAACGGAGUCCGAUACGCACCAGAAGCCAUCUCCAUUGAUCGGCCUCUCCGGAAAAUCGGAGUUACUAUUCACUUUAAAUGAUUAGUACAUGUCGCGUAACUUUUCCAUCCUAACUCGGUUUCUCCUAAAAUUUGACUAGUGUUUAUAUAAUUAAAUUACAUACAAAAAUAUCGUCAACACAGAGUUUAUUUGCACCGCAAAAAUCUCAGUCCUCACAUACCAGCACGAUGCAGUACCGGUACCUGAGCUCGAUACCGGUACUCGACUGGUCGGUACCGGUACUCAGUAUCUCUCCACGCAAAUCUGAGAGUGUUCUAAAACUGCACUGGGGUACUGGUACUCUUCUCUGGUACCGGUACUCAACACUGAAAUCCUGCACUUUGCGGAUUCAGUGUCAAAACACUACUUUCGUGUCACACUGAGUCCGUUUUGCGUUCAUUUCGCGUCAAAACGACUCCGACUUUUUCCGACACUCUCCAGAUGUGUCGACAAACCUUAGAUGCUGAAACCCACGGCUGCAGAACACCAGAGACAGCACAAUGAUCGUCUUAGAGUACAUUUUUGUAUAACAGGACUUUUCGUUUUCGAAAAUUAUGAAAAAUAUUGCAUAAAAUAAUGACUUGAUUGCGAGAUGAUCAUUUUAAUUUUCUGAAUUUCAUCGAUUAAUGCACCAAGUUAACUAUUAGACCUUACAAAUAAGUGCCCACGAGUAUUACAAACCAUCAAGAGCUAAGAAAAAUAAAUUCACGAAAAUUGGCUUCCUUUUGUUCAAAUAAAAAUAAAUCCAGAUCGUACUAUUAUUACAUAAUACAGUAAUAAAAUAUGAACUAGGUUAUUAUACUAUUAAUAGCACUAAGUUAUUGGUGCUAUUAGGGUUUCUUCCAUUGGAUGAAGAGAUAUAGGGUUAGAAUAAUAGUAGUCUUCUAAGGCUGAGUGGAUGGUUUGUUGAAUAGUAUGAUCUGACGGAUGAAAAUGAUCAAAUGGGUAGACCUAACGGCGAAAAACUGUAGCACCAAGAGGAGUAAACUUGUAAUUUAAAUAAUUAUUACUCGCCAGCAGUAAUACGAGAUACCCACUCUUCAUUCGGUAAUAUUUUCGGAGUAAUCUUACAUCAUUUAUAAUGCUAAUUUGCCAAUUAUAUUAUAAACUGGAUGACCCAAAUAUAAUAAUCUUGACAAAAAUACCUAUAGUUCUGACAAGAUAAUCCGAACCAAAUAAGCCCUUUUUAAAUUAUGAAAGUGAUAAAUUUUGUUAAUAAGAGAAGGUCUAUAUGAAUGCGGCCUACGCGCACUGGACGCGAGUUCUGAAAUUAAAAUAAAAAAAAAAAGAACGCGGAGAGGACUCCCGUGACUCAGGCACUGGUUUACUUCCGUACAUGAAAAUUAUAAAUAAUAUUUGGAAAUUACUAUUUUAAAAUUAAAAUCUAAUUAAUAUAUAUUUGAUUUAUAGUAUUUAAAAGGAGGUUUUUUAUAAACAAUCCAAGGAAGUUUUAUAAUUACAAAAAUAUUCUUCUACAAAAAUUACUUAUAAAAGUAGGCCUCUAAUAUGCCAGUGAGAUAGUCCGCUGAUAAAAUAUUGAAAGUUGUAAAUAAUUUAUCAUAUUUAAAAGCAGUCAAGUAUUUGUGAAACAACCGUUGUACUCUAAAAGCUUAAGCUGCUAGAGAACGAUAUUGAUAUAUUUUUAUAUUUAACACUCUCCCUUACGUCUGGGUUCGAAACUUUUUUAGUCGGUUCAUGACGUAGGCUUGAAUUAAAUGGAAGGAAAUUAAUAUGCUAAGAGCCUGGCGUGAUUCGAACUCAGGACUUCCUGCUCUGAUACCAUGUAGGAAGUUGAAAUUAGUGAAAAAAUGAUUGUUGUUCUCGAUGAAGAACACACAAAAUCAACUUUCAAUAUAUACAAUUAUUGAAUACAAAAUAUAAUCCCAUUAUUCUUGGGAUUACAACAUUUACAUAAUUACAUUCUAAAAAUGUACAAUAUUUGAAUCCAAAUAUUUUCUAUUUGGAGUGGUUGCCAUACUUGAGAGAUUGCCAUUCUUGAGUUUUCACAAUUGCUUAUAAUUUGAAUACUUGUCAAAGUUUACAAUUGCUUAUAAUUUGAAUACUUGAGUUUCCACUAAUUACAACUUCCUUCAGUAUUUACCGUCGAUAAAAGCAGUGAAUAUAGAGUUAACCGCCUUUAGUGUACUUUUUUUUUACUGGUUUGUGGAAAGUAUUUAAAAAUGAUAAAUAGUUUAUCGCUUUUAGAAAAUUGUUUUAAGUUUUAAACGCACUGAACCAUUCACCGCUUUCUAAAAUGUAGCGAAUUAAUGCUUCAACCCCUUUCUUUAUGUCCUCGCCACGCUGGCACCCAUCUAACUAGUUGAGGUCUAUUUUUGCAUAUAAAAAAUUGGGGCAGUUGCCUAUAUACCCCUGAAAAGUUUUCGGUUUUCUUAUUUACCACUCUUAAAAGGCUAAUAUUGAAAAUACCCAUUCUUAUGUGCCAAGUCUUUCUAAUAUAUCCCUGAAGUUAAGUUCCGUUAGUGAACUGCCGUUAUCUCUGAAAAAUUAUUAUUUUGCCCAUUUCAAUAUACCCUUAUACCGUAACUAAUUUUUUUUAUAUAUCCUUCAUAUAGCAAAUACUCUUUUUAUUUAUCCUUCAAAUAUUAAUUAAUUAAUUAAGCACAAUUAAUUAAGGGUAUAGUUAUCUUGGUGUUGGAGGCAUAGUUAAUUAAUUCGGAUUCGACAAAAAUUCGGUACGGAUAAAAUUCGGAUAAAAUUCGUCUUUUAAUUUUGAAAUUCGUUAAAAAAUAUGACUAAAAAACGGAUUCGGCAAUUAUUCGGAUACGUGAUUUAUACAGGUAUUACACGUUCACCAAUUAAAAAUUCGGGAUAAAAAAUUAGGCUAUAUAAUAAAUAUAUAAUAAUUAAUAUACUAUAUAUAUUAUUAUUAUAAUUUUUAUAUAUAGAUUAAAUAUAUUUAAAAUUAUAAUAAACAUAUAUUAAUAAUAUAUAAGAGUUAUAUAUUUAAAAAUAUUAAUAAACUCAAUUCUGUGCAGAUCUAAAGAAUAACUUAUUCCAAUUAAUCUUAGAUAAUUAACUCUCCCAUCCUAAUUAACUCUCUCAAUUAACUCUCCCAACUGUCUUCUCUAGUUAAUUGUCAAUUAACCCUUGUACAGCACCCCUCCUCGUCCCCUUCCUCCGGCACCGGCAGCACCCGCCUCGACCACCAUCGCCACUCCAAACCCCGAGGACCCUGCGCCUCUCUGAGAUCAUCCCAAAUAAAUUAAUAUUCAAAUAAACAAAUAAAUAAAUAAAUAUAUCACUACAUGAAGAACAAGAAGGCGAAAAUGGAGCCCCCAUGAACAUAAUGUAAGCUAUAUUUUGGUCGAUUAUUUUGAAAUUUUUGCUCUGUAACUCCUUUUCAGCUGCAUGAAUGAAAAGUGAAUUUCGUUUUUUUCUCUCUAAUCCGCAUUAUCUUAAUUUCAUUUAUGAUUCUAGUGAGGUGACCUGCUACAUUUUUACCAAGAACUAAACAGAAAAAAUGGUGAAUCAAAAUAAAACGAAAAAUCGCAUCGUUAUUAUUAGUACUAUUAAUUGUACCCGGACGAAGAUGGGGAUGAUGGAGGCGGCGGCGAGGAGUUCCCCGUGGUUCCUCCUCCGUCCAUCUCCUCUCUCUUUCUCUCUCUACACUCUCUUUCUUUCUCUCUCUUCUUUUUGGUGAGUGGUGGUCGUGUUUGUCUCCGUUUUGUCUUGAGGAGGAGGACGACGAGAGUGACGGAGGAGGAGGAUGACGAGAGCAAUGAGAGGGGUUGUGUUGGAGGUGGAGGUGUGGGAGGUGGUGGUGGUCUGGGAGGAGAUGAGGCAAGGUGGAGGCGGAGGAGCCAGUGUUCAAGUUGAAAGAGAAAGAGGAUAAUUUAAGAAAUUAGCAUAAUAAAGUAGGGGUAAAAUAGGUAUUUUAUAUAAAUUUUAACUCUAGUAUGUAUUUAAUCCAUGUUUAAUCCGAGUUAAGUUAACAGGAAAUAACUGCGGGAAUAUUUUGGAAUAACGGUGGAAUAUAUGAAGGGCAUUUUAAAAAAAAAAAAAAAGUAGGAAUAGAUCGAAUAUUUUCAGACGCAUGAGGGAUAUAUAGGCAAUUAUUCCUAAAAAAUUUGAAAGGUCUAGUUUUGGAAUAAAGUUUUAAUUUGAAGAGGGCCGGUGGCCUAAAAUACCCUUUUGAAAGUCAUGUAUGAUGGCCUAAAAUCAACUUCACACUAUACUAAUUUUUCUUUUCUUUUUUCUUUUUAUUUAUUUGUUGCGUGUACAUGCAUGCAUAAUUAAUAAAAAGAUUAUAUGCAUUAUGAUCUCAUGACGCUCAGAUCAUAGGCUCUCGUUAUUUUAUGGGAUAUGCUAAUUAUUUUACUCUUUAAGAUUGCACUAUUCAUUUCCAACAUACAAUUAAUAACUUAUUAAGUUGUCGCGCCAAACGGUCCAUAUACNUAUGAUCUCAUGACGCUCAGAUCAUAGGCUCUCUUUAUGUUAUAGGAUAUGCUAAUUAUUUUGCUCUUUAAAAUCGCACUAUUCAUUUCCAACAUACAAUUAAUAACUUAUUGAGUUGUCACGCCAAACGGUCCGUAAACUUCCCUAAAAAAAAAAAACACGAAAAAAGAGAGAAAAUCUUUUUUUUUUUAGUUUUUUAAUAUUUUUUUUUUGAAAAUGAGCCUGUAGGGCUCUUAAAUUAUAAAUAUUAUUGAUUAAUCUUUAGCUAAAAGUAUGUUCUUUGUUAGGAAGAGAACACAAUUAUUUGUGAAUUUCUUUGUUAUAUAACUUUGGGGAAAAUUUUUUGGAAUCUCUUUUAGUCAUAUGAUUAUGAAUCCACCAUAUAUAGUUAUUCCAAACAGAGCAUGUCAUAUAAUUGUGGUUAAAAUUAACCCUCAAUCGUGUCACAGGAUAUAUAAAGUUAUAGUUAGUUCUUAAAUUUAUCACUCCACAAAAUUAGGAACAAAAAUAUAGGCAAAAUCUUAAUUUACAUUAGCCUAUCCUAUCCUCCUUUUUUAAUAGAAUUUUUUUUUUAGAAUUAACGAAAGAAAUCAUGAUUCUGUUUGAUAAUAAGGAACGGAUCAGAUUCAAUAGAAUAAGAAAGGGAAUUAAGCAACGUUACAGAUAGGGGGUGUAGCCAUAUAAUAAUUCUAUUUCAUUAGAACCGACAAUAUAUAUUCGAACGACUCUGAAAUACUAAAUCUUUUUUAAUUGAGAGCCCUUACCUCUUAUAUAUAAUGCAUGGCUCCAGUGUAGAGUCUAAUUAGAAUUCAUGGUCCUAUAAAAUUUUUAAUUAAACUCUAUUUAUUUUUUAAUAAAUUUAAAUCUCAUUUUAUCCUAAUUAAAUUAGAAUUUGGCUUUAAUUAAAUAACCAUAAAUUUAAACCGAAAUCUAGUAAUAGAUUUUCUCACUAAUAUGUUAGAUAGCAAUAUUUGUGAAACUACCUCAUCUAUUUUCUCUAUUCUUAUCUCGUUAUAUAUAUAUUGUCAAGUCCUAUUUGUUUAGGAUUAACUCAACGGAGUUAAGAACUGACAUUUGCUUUUAUCUUUUUCUUCAAUUAUUUUUUUAAAAAUCUUUUUAAUGAGAGUAAAAUAUAGAAAACUCCACGUAAAUACUUAUUUUUUUACUUCCUCCACCAACUUUAAAAAAAUCUAUACUUUAUCUCUUCAAAAUUUCAAGUUGAUGUGUUUAAAUUCCCUACAUUAAGGUUCCGUCACUAUUCCGUCCAUUUCUUAUAAUUUAUAUUAAAAAAAAACCUUUAAAAUGGCAGAAAUUUUUUUUUUUUUUUUUAAAGAACAAGUAAGAAAAAUUUAAUCAUCUAUUCAUCUCCAUUCACGCCAAACAUUUCUGAGAUUUUAAGGGGAUAGAAUGUAGAUUUUUUAAAAGUUAGGAAGAAAACGUAAAAACAAAAAAAGAUAUUUAUAAGGGAAGGUUUUCUUUAUUUUAGCCAAUAGAAAAAGUUUUAAUAAGGAUACAAAUUAAGCAUUCUCCAAAUACAUAAUACAGUGGAGUAGUGGUUCUUCCGAAGGAAAAAUUCUAGAAUGCAACGGGUAUAUUGAUGACGUGAUAUAACAAGCCAAUCAAAUAUUUUUUUUUAGAGAUAUAUGUCCCAUCAUGAUUAUAAAAAAAUAUUUUUAUUAUACUUUUGUUUCAAAAGAAAAAAUGUGAUUGGCUUAUUAUUGAUGACGUGGUGCAAGUGUGAUAGUGUAGAAUUCCUCCUUCCGAAGACACCAACUCAUAUUUGAUAUUUCCACUUUUAUGUGCAUUAAUUACAAGUAAAAUAAAAUAUGCAGACAAGAUAACAUCUAUCCCUAGAUCAUCGUUUCCUUAAGUGUGGGUUGUCUAGGAGAUCCGAGGCGGAAAAUAUAGAAGCAUCAAGCUCGGUGGUUGGCAAUAAUUAAUUCAGCUACAUGAUGUGGAAUCACUGAAUCCUUUCUGUGACAAACUCGCCGUGUCGUUCGAACCAGAUGGUAAAAUUCGGGAUGUGGCGAACCCUCGUGCGCCAGUCAUUGCUGUGGUCGCCUUCUCCUCCUCCUCCUCCUCCUAGAAGCAGCUCAACAAGUUCCUCUGCUGGACGCCAAAUGUUUAAAUCUUGAAGGGUGGUAAGGUACUCGAUGCCGUGGGGCAGCUCCUUUAGCUCAGGGCAACCGCGUAGCUUAAGCGUAUUCAGGCUUGCCAUUGCUCCUCUUUCUAUUUCCACCUGACUGAGCUUCUGGGCACCUGAUAUGUACAAUUUCUUUAGCUUUGGGAAUGAUGUUGCUUGGAAGUGCAACUUCAUGCCGUCAUAUGCCCCACAAAGUUCGAGAAACAUCAACGCAGGCAGCGCUUGCAAGUAAGGAAAUGUAUCUUCAUCAAAUUUUGCCUCUGAAAGUGUUAAUCUGGUUAGGUUUGUAAGAGACCGAAAGGACGCGGCAAGCUCAGAGACUGAGGUUUUGUCUAAUUUACCCUGUAGAUAUAAACUUUGAAUUCGCAGAGGUAGGCGCAGGGUGUCCAAUUGCCGUAAUUCUUGCCCAGGUUCACUUUUGACAGAAAAAAAGCUAAGAUGGUUCAUCUUAGUGAUACUAUUCCACAAGUCUGCACAGUGAUGGGUUCUUACGCAGGUUAUCCCAAAUGUCCGCAACUCUGUCAAAGCUUCUACAUUCCGCACAAUCCUCCUAGUUGCUUUAAUAUAUCCUAAAGUCUGCAAGCCCUUCAAACGCCAUAUUCCAACCGGUGCCUUGAUGCCCCAGAAUAGUGUUGAAACUAGGUGUCUCAACUUUUGAAGCCUCGUUAUUCCCUUCGGAAGCUCCUUAAUUCCUGUUGCCCGCAAGCCUAGAUAAUGCAGGUUGAAUAGGUUACAGAUCUCACUUGGUAGUUUCUCGAUUAGUGCUCCAUCUAGUUCCAAAACACGUAAGAAUUUUGAUGAUCUUAAGACCGACUUAAGUAGAUCAUAGCUCAUGGAAUAGUUGAAAAUAAGUACUGAACGCAAAUGCGAUUUGUCUUCAGUAAAAUAAUUAGUUAUAUUGCUUAGAACUGACAAGCGGCGUGCUUUGGAUCUCUGCAAUAUUGUCCGUGAAUGCUCGUAAACCAUGCAGAAGCUUAACUCCUUUGACUUCGAAAGAGCGAGGACUCGAAUGAUGUCAUGCAUUCGACAUGCAUGAAUGCUUCCGUCUUCGUUCCUCUCGGCCACUUGUAGUAGACACCGAUGAACAAGUUCAUUAAGGUAGUCCUCGGCCACUUCCUCCAUCAUUCUUUCUCUUUCUUCAAUGAAACCCUCUGCCAUCCAGAGCCUUAUGAGCUUGUUACUCGCAAUUCGAUAAUCUUCCGGAAAACUAGAACAAUAUAAGAAGCAAUUUCGAAGGUAAUGGGGAAGAUCGUCCAAACUAAGUUUCAAAAUGUCAUGUACUUUUUCAUGGAGCUUCGAUUCGUUGUUAGUUAGAUACCACUCAAGAUCUUUGUAAACCUUCUCCCACUCAGAAUCAGUUUGUUCUCGAAAUGAUAAGAGACGGGCUAUAGAUACGAUAGCAAGGGGCAAGCCACCGCACUUCUCGACAAUUUUUUUAGCACAUUGUUCUAAAGGCGGUGGGCAAAUCUUGUUUGCACUUUUCCAAAAUGUGUUUUUACAAAACAGAUCCCACGAAUGAUCUGCCUCCAGUGGCUUUAGCUCAAACAUACGGUUCUCGUUUGCUAAUAGAGCUACAUCGCGAAUCCUUGUUGUGAGAACUAUUCUACUCUUGCAAUUACUAUUCAGAAGUGCAUCUUUUAUAUUGUCCAUUACAUUAGUACUCCAAACAUCAUCCAAAAUGAGUAAAUACUUUCUACACUGCAAGUGAGUGCGGAUAGUCUCAACCAAGCUUCUAUAAUCCAGGGUAUCAUUGUUGUUAGGUGCUUUCCUUUUCUCACGACCUUCCCUACAUAACUCUUUUAAGAUCUGUCUAAGCAAAUCAUGAGUUUCGUAACUCUGAGAUACAGCAACCCAGGCACAAGCAUCAAAGGUAGCUUUGAUGAUUUUGUACACAUGAGUUACGAGAGUUGUCUUCCCUAGACCACCCAUCCCCAAUACUGAGAUUAUCAUGGGCUGUUGUUGCUGCUCAUCCUCAUCUUUUAACCAUCCAAGCAACAAGUCCCUGUACUUGUCAAUACCCACGAUGUCAUCCUCCUUGACAAAAUGUGCUAAUUCUGCACGACUCUUGCUACAGCCAACAACUAUUCGAGGUUUUGCUUCACUUUCCAUUCCUCUUGUAUCAUAUCGUGUCCUUCUCUCCAUUAUCUUUUGGAGGUCAAUUUUGAUAUCUUUAAGUUUCUUGCUAAGGUGAUGCCAAGAUUUUAUAUUUCUGUACCUCUUGAUUGCUGUCAGUAGAACCCCUCAUUGCUCCUCGCUCAGCUUAUACGUGAACUCAUCUAUAAUAUCCUCAAUGUCGAAAGCCAAGUCUCUUGUUUGUUUUAUAAUGAUUUUUGUGCUCUCAUCCUUCUCUUUUAGUCUUUCUGCGAUCCGUAGGAAGGCUUGCAUGAUCUCAAGCUCAUCCUUAAUGUCACUUAUAUCCUUCAUGAGUUCUUUCAUUGCUAACAUCCCUGUUAGUAAUAGUGAUGCUGCUGAUUUAGUUGUUUCAAUAGCUAAAGCAGCACCUAUCUUUAGGACUAAUGAGCUUAUCACAGCCUCCACCAUAGGAAUUUCCUACAAAGUGAGCCUGGAAUCAAUAAUCUUUCCAAACUACUAUGUCUUUUUAGAUGCACCGCUAGCAAAAAUAAUUAUUGUUUUAACAUUCCUAAGAUUCUAGGCAAUUCUGUAGUGUAUCAAACAAACAUUUGUUAGAAUCCCUCAGUUAAAAGGAAGAAAUGCCAGUAACAGUUUGUAGUCUGUCAUAACAAAGAACAAUAACUUGUUUGAGAUUCAAUUUAACAAAAUUUUGAGAUAAAAGAUUCAUCAUAAUUAGUCAUACUGAACUCGACCUCAAUGUAUAUUUCUAGAGCAAGUUGUGGAAAAGUCCUUUAGAGGAGUGUGAAAUCAAUAAAGAGUUGGAAACUAAAUGAAUCUACUGCUAGUCGCCGAGUUGACGAUAUCGUGUUAAGAGUGAUUAUAAAUUAUUCUACAAUUAACAAUUAUAAGUUGAGUUUGUUUUGAAGCCCUCUUCUUGUUCAUAAUUAAGUUAAUUUAUAUCAGGACUAUAAGUCAUUUGAGCAAGAAACUAUUAGUGCUUCUUCAAAUAGUUUUGUUUUGAUAGCAAUAUAAGAACUUAAUUUUAGACUCAUGAAACUCACGUAUUUCUAAUAUGUUAAAUUUUAUUGCCUCGACAUUCAUAGUUUCAUACUGCCUAUUAUUGGACCAAAAUCUAAAAGUUCUAUUUCAACUUCUGUGAUUACAAACUUUUGAGAUAAAUGAUUCAUUAUAACUAAUCAUACUGGACUCAACCUUAAUGUAUAUUUGUAGAGCAAGAUGUGGAAAAGUCCUUUAGAGGUGUAUGAAAUCAAUAUAGAGUUGGAAAGUAAAUGAAUUUGCUGCUAGUCAGUGAGUAGAGGGAAUUGUAUUAAGAGUGAUUGUAAAUUAUUCUAUAAUUAACAAUUAUAAAUCGAGUUUCUUUUGAAGCCUCUUUCUUGUUCAUAAUUAAGUUAAUAUAUAUGAGGACUAUAAAUCAUUUGAGCAAGAAACUAUAUAUUAGUGCUUCUUCAAAUAGUUUUGUUUUGAUAGCAAUAUAAGAACUUAAUUUUAGACUCACGAAACUCCCGUAUUUCUAAUAUGUUAUGUUUUAUUGCUUCGACAUUCAUACUGCCAAUUAUUGGAUCAGAAUCUAAAAGUUCUAUUUUAACUUUUUUGAUUUGUAUAAACGAAGCGGGUAGUGUGCUACCUAUCUCUCUCUCUCUCUCUCUCUCAAAANAAAAAAAAAAAAAAAAAAAAAAAAGAUUUGUACUGCAAUUUGUAAAAGUUCUUCAUUACAAGUUUUGGCAUUAACUGAAUUUUUUUUUUCGAAAUAAUUAUUAUCUUUGUGAGUUCAGCAGGAAUAUUUCUUAAAGUGAAAUGACUUUGAUACUUUUUUUUUUUGAUGAUGAGGCAUUUAAAUAAACGUCCUGUAUCGUAAAUAUGAUCUAGAAUAUUUGCAUGGUUUAGAAACUGAAUUUUUUUUUUUUUUUUGUCGUUAUUAUUUAUCUAGUGAUCGAAUGGUUUCAAAAUUGAGAGUUUAACAAGAAAAAUGGGACACUUUCUUCUUGUUUAAUAACAAAGAACAAUCAGAAUUAGCUGAGCAUUUAAUAACAAAUAAAUUCUUCUUAACUAUAUAGAUCAAGAUCUACAACCAAGAUUGCGAAUUUAAGAUUAUUUUUAAUUAUAUUUUUAGAAGGUAGCUAAUUUUGACCUUUCAUAUUAUGCCCACUUGGCUAGCCAGAAAAUAAAUUUAAAAAAUCACUUUUUCUAGAAAGUUUAUGUAUAAUCUUGCAUGGUAUUGAUCAUCAAUUUAGGUACUCAAUUAUCAACAAUAAAGUGAGAGUACUUUAUGAGGUAAAAUUAUUCUAGCUAGCUCAAUUAUUAUCGAUCUCUUGUUAUCUUGUUUCCAAAAUCAAGUGAAUCCAAACAAUAUAUUAAACAGCAAAGCUAGACAUACUAUACUAGAUCUCAGUACCUUACGGAAUCAACUAGUUGAUAGCAAAGAGAAUAAAAAUUAAUUAAAAAGAACAAGUAGAAGAAGAUGCACAACUAACCACAGAUCCAAAAGGGAGAUAUAUUGAAGAGGGAGCUGCUCCAAAAUAAUUAAUCUGAAAUUUAACUAGAGAAAAUGCUGCAAUCAAAGAAGCGCUUGAAGUAGAUGUUUUAGGGAUUGAUGAGUGAGAGAUGAGGAUGAACUAUAUACACAAGAAACUGGGAGGAAGUGACUUGGACACUGCAGCUACCAAGAACUUCCCUCUUUGACUUUUCCCAUCCGUACUUGGUUGUAGUGUGCUAUAUUAUAUGGAUUUAUAGGGGCUCCUUUUGAUUAUUUGCCUUUUACUACUAUUCAAAUUUUUUAAAUUUAUUCUAAAAUUACUAAAAUACCUAUUUAAAGUCUAAUCUCAUUAAUAAAUGGCCUUUUUGCAUAAAAAAUCAACUAGUCUCGAGAUUUUGUAAAAGUGUGCUACUAUUUUGAAUUUUACAAAUUCAACUCGAAUUUGUAGAAAACUGAUCAAAAUAUUCUUAUUCCUUUUCCUCUCUCUCUCUCUCUCUCUCUCUCUCUCUCUCUCUCACUCUCUUUUUCUCUCCAACCCUCCUCGCCUCCUCCACCGCUUCUGCGACCCUGGACGACGGUAAGAAGGACGUUGCCGCCUCCUCUUUCUCUGCCUCCGCCACCGUCUCCGCCACUGCUGGUGCCGGCACCGACACCGGCGCUGAAGGAGGAGGAAUUGGAGCAGGCGCGGGUGAGGACGGAGCAAACGAAGGCGAUGAGUUCGUGGCCGAGGUGGUGCUCGCUGUCGCACGUGAUGGUGAGAACGAAGAUGUGCCAGCGCUUCUCCAAGGAGCAAAAAAAGAUGCAGAGGGUAGAAAAAAAAAAGAAUAAAAAUAAAAAUUAAAAAAUAUAUUUUUCUUGAAGGACCAUUAUGUAUCAUCGCUACUACAGGAAAGAUAAAGAAUCAGAGAAGAAGGAAAAAAGAAUAUCAAGUUGCACUGUACUUUUUUGAAACGAAAGUUAUACUUUUUAAGCAAAGUUAUAUUGUUUAAGCGAAAAUUGUACUCUAUAGCCUCCUCGUUGUGGAGGCCUACUGCCUGAUUAUCGUUUUGAAGCGGCCCCUCCUGGCCUUCCUCCUCGCGUUCAUCCGCUCCUCCGGGGCUCCUACCCGCUCAAUCAAGGACGGGCUCAAGGCGCUCUUUGGCGUUGCACUCUACGUGCUCAACCUCUCUGUGUUGGUCAAGCUCGGCACCAUGCCCGCGCUCUUCUCCUUUGUCGUCAUUCUGCAUUCGUCGCGCUCUACCCGCUCAACUGUCCCUUGCUGGCCGAGCUCAGCGCUAUGCACGCACUUUUCUCCCAUGUCGUCAUUCUGCAUUUGUCGCACUCUACCUGCUCAACUGCCUCCCGUUGGUCAAGCUCGGCAUCGUGCCCGCGCUUUUCUCCCUCGUCGUCAUUAUGCAUUCGAAAAGUUUUAGUAUGUUGUUAUAUAAUUUUAUAUUUUGUUUUAGGGUAAAUUACACUUUUGGUCCUCAAACUAUGAGGUACGUGACAUUUUAGUUCUGAAAUUUUAAUUUAUUAUAAUUUUUGGCUCGAAUUAUGCGAUACAUUACAUUUUAGUCCUCGAACUUUAAUUAGGUAUAAUAUCUGGCUCGACCUUUAAGACUUGUGAUAUUUUAGUUCUUGAACUUGUUGAAUUAUUAUUCUCACAGCCAAAUUUUUUUAAAAAAUAAGUAUGGAUAAAUUAUUUAUAUUCAACUAAUAUAGUAUUUUAAUUGUUAUUACAUCAUCAAGGACGAUAUACUACAAUUCAGAAAGUUCGAGAACUAAAAUAUCACAUGCUUAUAAUUUAAGCUAGAAAUUAUAACUAAUUAAAAUUUGAGGACAAAAGUAUCACUGACCUUAUAGUUCGAACGACAAGUUAUAACAAAUUAAACUUUGAGGACGAAAGUGUCACGCGUCUCAUGGUUUGGAGGCGAAAAGUGUAAUUUACCGUUUGUUUUACCAUAAAAAAUUAUUAUUAAAUAGAAUAGUAAAAUAUUAUAAUUCACAAAUUAUACAAAAUGCUAAAUUUUGUAGGUCAGAUUAUGUAAAAUAUGCGCUGACGCGCUUUCGCUGCUGAGUCCUGAAAUAUUGUUAAAAUCAAAGAAUAAAAAAAGGACGCGGAGAAGACUCGCAUGACCCACGCGAGGCGUCUCCGCGUAGGGACCGAGUGAUGCUACCAGCUAUGAACAUAUACUCCCUGCACCUGGUGUACUUCUAUAUAUAUAUAUAUAUAUAUAUAUAUAUAUAUAUAUAUAUAUAUAUAUAAUAUUUGGUAAUCAAUAUUUUAAAAUUAAGAAAGGAGCUGGGAGACAAUGUACUUUAUAUCAGGGAUAGGUGGAUGGUUAUGAAAGGAUUGCAGAAUACGAGGCGUAGCCUUCGUGAAUUGGCUGCGCGCUGGUGGGUUAUUUGGAAGGCUAGAAACGAUUUGAUUUUUAAAAACAUCCAACUAGAUGCCCUAGUGGCGGUGUAUAGAUUGAAGGAGUUGCUGAAAUUCUGGAAAAUAUGUGCACAAACUUCUAGACGCUCUAUCAUCGUGUGAUUUUUUUUUUCUCUGUUACGCCCCUCUUUUGAGGCUCUGGAUGCCUCAUCCCGGUAGCCUAAUUCAUCUCUUUAAUGAAUGAGCAGGUAGCGUGCUAUCUUUUCUCCAAAAAAAAAUAUUUUAAAAUUAAGAUCUAAUAAUUUUGUUGAUAGUUAAUAGAAAUUCCGAGCACAUAGUAAUUAAUGACUUUGGAAAUUCGUAAUUUCGUGCUCAAAACUCCAAUUUCGAUAAAAUUUGGUUUAAUUAGAUGAUCGUCUCAGAGUAUAUUUUGUAUAGCAGGACUUUUCGUUUUUGAAAGUUAUGAAAAAUAUUACAUAAAAUAAUGACUUGAUUGAGAGAUGAUUGUCUUUUUCUGAAUCUCAUAGAUUUUAUCAAAGAAAUUUUAAAUCCACCAAAAAUGCACCAAGUUAACAACUAGACCUUACAAAUAAGCGCCCACGAGUAUUAAAAACCCUCGGGAGCUAAGAAAAAUAAAUUCACUAAAAUUGACUUCCUUUUGUUCAAAUAAAAAUAAAUCCAGAUCGCGCCAUUAUUACAAAAUAGAGUAAUAAAAUACGAAAUAGGCUAUUGUACUAUUCAUAGCACCAAGUUAUUGGUGUUGUUAGAAUUUCGGCAUGGCUGAAUAGAUGUAGAGUUAGAAUAAUAGUGGUCUCAAAGGGUUGAAUGGAUGGUUUGUUGAAUAGUAUGGUCUAACGGGUGAAAAUAAUCAAAUGGGUGGAUCUAACGGCGAAAAACUUGGUAGCACCAACGGAGGGGGUAAACUUGUAAUUUAAAUAAUUGCAAGAUUACCUGCCAGCAGUAAUACGAGAUACUCUCAUUUGCUAAUAUUUUCGGAGUAAUCUUAUAUCAUUUGUAAUGCUAAUUUGCCAAUUAGAUUAUAGACGGGAUAACCCAAAUAUAAUAAUCUUGACAAAAUUAUCUAUAAUUCUGACAGGAUAAUCCGAACUAGAUAGACCCUUUUUAAAUUAUGAAAGUGAUAAAUUUUGUUAAUGUUGGGAUCAAAAAAUUUUAAAAUUUAAAAUUCAAAUUGAGAAUAAAAUUUAACGCAGGCGGCGCUUGCAGGUAAGGAAAUGUAUCUUCAUCCAAUUCUGACUCAAAAAGUUCUAAUUUGGUUAGGUUUGAUAGAGACCCAAAGGAUGCGGCAAGCUCAGGGAAUGAGGUUUUGUCUAAUUUACAGUCCAGCCAUAAUUCUUUAAUUGGCAGAGGUAGGCGUAGGGUGCCCAACUGCUGUAAUUCUUGCCCAAAUACACUUUCGACAGAUAAAUUGCUAAGAUGGUUCAUCUUUGUAAGACUAUUCCACAAGUCUGCACAGUGAUGGGUUCUUACGCCGGUUAUCGCAAAUGUCCGCAACUCGGUCAAAGCUUCUACAUUCCGCACAAUCUUCCUAGUUGCUUCAAUAGAUCCUAAAGUCUGCAAGCCCUUCAAGCGCCAUAUUCCAACAGGUGCCUUGAUGCCCUGGCCAACAUAUUCUGAUAAAACUAGGUGUCCCAACUUAUGAAGCCUCGUUAUUCCCUUCAGCAGCUUUCCUAUUUCACUUUCAUCUGUAUUUAAUAUUUGCAGAUUUUGUAGCUUCCCGAUUGAUCUUGGAAGCUCCUUAAUUUUUGUUUCUCACAAACCAAGAUAAUGCAGGUUGAAGAGGUUACAGAUUUCACUCGGAACUUUCUCAAUUGGCGCUCCUUGUAGUUCCAAGACACGUAAAAAUUUUGAUGAUCUUAAGACCGACUUCAGUAAAUCAUUCCUCAUGGAAUUGUUGAAAACAAGUACUGAACGCAAAUGAGAUUUGUCUUCAGUACAAUAUUCAGUUAUAUCGCUUAGGAUUGACAAGCGUCGUGCUUUGUAUCCCUGCAAUAUUGUCCUUGAAUGCUCACAAACCAUGCAGAAACUUAACUCCUUUGACUCCGAACGAGCGAGGACUCGAAUGAUGUCAUGCAUUCGAUAUGCAUAAACUCUACCAACUUCGUUCCACUCAGCCACUUGUAGUAGACAGCGAUGAACAAGUUCGUUAAGGUAGUCCUCGGCCACUUCCUCCAUCAUUCGUUCUCUUUCUUCAAUGAACCCUUCAGCCACCCAAAGCCUUAUGAGCCUGUCACUUUCAAUUGUAUAGUCUUCCGGAAAGCUUGAACAAUAUAAGAAGCAGUUUUGAAGGUAAUGGGGAAGAUCGUCCAAACUAAGUUUCAAAAUGUCAUGUACUUUGCCAUGGAGCUUCGAUUCGUUGUUAGUUAGAUACCACUCAAGAUCUUUGUAAACCUUCUCCCAUUCAGAACUGGUUUGUUCUCGAAAUGAUAAGAGACGAGCUAUAGAUACGAUAGCAAGGGGCAAGGCACCGCACUUCUCGACAAUUCUUUUAGCACAUUGUUCUAAAGGCGGUGGGCAAAUCUUGUUUGCACUUUUCCAAAAUGCGUUUUUACAAAACAGAUCCCACGAAUCAUCUGCUUGCAGUGGCUUUAGCUCAAACAUAUGAUUCUCGUUUGCUAAUAGAGCUACAUCGCGAAUCCUUGUUGUGAGAACUAUUCUACUCUUGCUAUUACUAUUCAGAAGUGCAUUCUUUAUAUUGUCCAGUACAUCAGUACUCCAAACAUCAUCUAGAAUGAGUACAUACUUUUUACACUGCAAGUAAGUGCGGAUUUCCUCAACCAAGCUUCUAUAAUCCAUGGUAUCAAUGUUGUUAGGUACUUCUCUUUUCUCAGCUAAGCUUCUUUUAUCCAUGGUAUCAAUGUUGUUAGGUACUUCUCUUUUCUUACGAUCUUCCCUAUGAAACUCUUUAAGAUUUGUCUAAGCAAAUCAUGAGUCUCAUAACUUUGAGAUACAGCAACCCAAGCACAAGCAUCAAAGGAAGCUUUGAUGAUAUUGUACACAUGAGUCACGAGAGUGGUCUUCCCUAGACCACCCAUCCCCAACACUGAGAUUAUCAUGGGCUGUCGUUGCUGCUCAUCCUCAUCUUUCAACCAUUCGAGCAACAAGUCCCUGUACUUGUCAAUACCCACGAUAUCAUCCUCCUCGACAAAAUGUGCUAAUUCUGCACAGCUCUUGCUACUGCCAACAGCUAUUUGAGGUUUUGCUUCACUUUCCAUUCCUCUUGUAUCAUAUCGUGUCCUUCUCUCCAUAAUGUUUUGGAGCUUAAUUUUGAUCUCUUUAAGUUUGCUGCUAAGGUCGUCCCAUGUUUUUAUAUUUCUGCACCUCUUGAUUGCUCUGGGUAGAACCCCUCCUUGCUCCUCACCCAGCUUGUACGUGAACUCAUCUAUAAUAUCCUCAAUGUCGAAAGCCAAGUCUCUUGUUUGUUUUAUGAAGGUUUUUGUGCUCUCAUCCUUCUCUUUUAAUCUUUCUGCGAUCCGUAGGAAGGAUAGCAUGCUCUCAAGCUCAUCCUUAAUCUCACUUAUAUCCUUCAUGAGUUCUUUCAUUGGUGAUAUCCGUGUUAGUAACAGUGCUGCUGCUGAUUUAGUUGCUUCACUAGCUAAGGUAGCACCGAUCUUCAGGACUAAUGAGCUUAUUACAGCCUCCGCCAUGAGGCUUCCUCCGAAGUGAGCCUGAAAUAAACGAUCUUUUCAAAUUACCAUGUCUCUCCAAAUGAAACACUACCAAAAUGAUGAUUUUUUAAUGCUCUUAUGAGUCUUGGCGAUUUUCAUAAAGAACAUGUUACUGUCUCAACCAAAAUAACUCUAGUGCACCAAACAAACAUUUGUUACAAUUAAUCCUCAGUUAAAACUAAGAAACACUAGUAACAACAUUGUAGUCUGUGAGAACAAAAAGCAAUAACUUGGUUGAGAAUUAGUUUAACAAAUUUUUGAGAUAAAAGAUUCAUUAUAACUAGUCAUACUAUCUCCUACAUGACCUCGAUGUUUAUUUGCAGAGCAAGAUGCCGAAAAGUCCUUUAGAAAAGUAUGAAAUCAAUAAAGAGUUGGCAAAUAAAUGAACCUGCUGCUAGUCACUGAAUAGUGGGUAUUGUAUUAAGGGUGAUUGUAAAUUAUUCCAGAAUUAACAAUUAUAAAUCUGAGUUUUCCUUGAAGCCCUCUCCUUGUUCAUUAAUAAGGCAAUAGCAGGGCUAUCUAUACAAGUCUCAUUUGAGCAAGAAACAAUUAGUGCUCCUUCAAAUAUAUAGUUUUGCGUUAAUAGAAAUAUAAGAACUUAAUUUUAGACUCAUGAACUCUCGUAUUUCUAAUAUAUUAAAUUUCAUUGCCUCGGCAUUCACGCUGCCUAUUGUCCGACCAGAAUCUAAAAAGUUCUAUUUUAACUUCUUUGAUUUGUGCUGCAAUUUGUAAUAUGUUGUAGAAGGUCAUCUCAUUUUACUUUAGCAAGUUUAAAUAUAUCCAGUAUAUAUCCACUAUGUAUGCUAUCCAGUAUCCACUAUGUACAUUACUACAUUUCUCUAUGAUAUAUAUUUAUGGUCUAUAUAAUUAACUAAGAAAUCACAGUGGCUAUUGGUCUUGUUUCCCAAAAGCUUGAUCUAACAGUAAUCUAUUAAAGGCUUAAGAUCUUUUACUCAUUUACAUGUUGAAGGUCUAGCAAGUGAUGCCAAUAUGCCAGUAGAAGAUGAAAAUAGAAAAGACAAACAAACUAAAUUUAAAUAUCAUGCAUUGCAUUAAACUGCAGAUAUAUAUUAGUUGAGCUUUUGAUGAUAAAUAAAAUUCUCUCAACUAUCUAUAUCAAGAUCUACAAUUAAACAAGAUGGUGAAUUUAAGAAUUUUUUAAAAUUUUAUUUUUAGAAGGUUGCUUAUGUUGACCAUUCAUUUUGCUCAAGUUCUUAUUCUAGCUCAAUUAUUAUCUCUUGUUAAUCUUGUUUCCAAAGAUCAAUUGAAUCCAAACAUUACACAACAGUGACACACUAUACUCUCAUUGCUUUAUUAGAGAAUUAAGCUAGUUGAUAGCAAAGAGAAUCAAAAGCAAGAACCCUUGGAACAUACAUAAAAAUGAAUUAAAAAAGAAUAAGUGGAAGAAGCACAACUAACCAACGACGGAUUUAGAAAGGAGAUUAAUUUGAAGAUCAGGGGGCUGCUCCAAAAUAGCCUCAAAUUUUGCCCGAGAAAAUGCUGCGAUCAAAUUACUGGGAGCAGAUGAAAGGAUACAUUAACGCUAGCUGGAGCCACCAAGAAACUUCCCUCCUGCCCGGCCUUCUCGACCAGCAGCAUUUUGUAGGCAAUAAGAAGCCAUUAAAAAACUAGAGAGUCGAUGGGUACACGGAUACCCAAAAGUUUGUCCCAACUCAAAAUUUGAAUGGAAUCAAUUUAUCCGGUUUCGAAUGUGAAUAUUAAAAAUAAAAGACCGACGGAUAUAUAUAUAUGGUUUUGGAUAUGGAUUUUGUUCGAACCUGACCUGAACCCCAUCUUCCGUCUUUAAUUCUAAUCAUCCAUCAAAUUUGAUAGAUAGUUAGUAAGUUAGGAGCACAAGAUCUGCUGUGCUCCUAAUAGCACAGUAGUACUGCUCUCUAUAUAUAUNUAUAUAUAUAUAUAUAUAUAUAUAUAUAUAUAUAUAUUUGAUCUUAUAUUCGAAUUUAUAUUUUAAAAAUUUAGAUUUAAUAUAGUAUAUCUUGAAAUAUGAUAAAGAGAAAUAAUUAUUUUAGGUUCAGUUUUUCGGAUUUUUUUUUAUAGGAUUUGGAGUUUGGAUAUAAAUUUUUAAAAUUUAUCGGAUUCGGUGUUGGAUUCAAGUUUUUGGUUUGGUAGUCGAGUUCGGAUUCUGUUUUUUGAAAACCCAUUCGGAAUCUGAUCUGUGGACAUUUCUAUUAAAAACACUUCGCACUGUGGUUUAGGAAAAAUUCUAGAAUGCAACAGAUAUAUUGGUGACAUGGUAUAACAAAUUAAUCAAAAAUCUUCUUUAGAAAUAUAUGUCCCAUCAUGAUUAUAAAAAAAUAUUUUUAUUAUAUUUUUAUUUUAAAAAAUAUAUAUAAUUGACUUAUUAUUAAUGAUGUGGUGUAAGUGUGGUAGUACUGAAUUCCUCAUGGUUUAGACAAGUCGGCUUCAUAAUAGAAAUUUUAAUAUUGAUUAAAAAUUGCUUCACACUGGUUACUGGUACCUUUGCACAUGGCCCCACAUGGGUAGUUCUCAGAUCAGCUUCAGUAUAGAAUUUUAAAUAUUGAUAAAAUAUUGCUUCACACUGGUAUCUUCGCACAUGAUCACCCACCACAUGGGUUGUUCUCAGAUCAGCUACAUAUAGAAAUUUUAAUAUUGAUAAAAAAUAGCUUAUUAAUUCACAUGCUUGCUAGGUCAGCAAUAAAGUUGGUUGUUUUUCUGUGCAAGUUUUUACGCAUACUCUAUGUUUAAUUGGAGAUUUGAUCUUGGGUUAACGCUACAUAGCGGAUGAUGCAAGCCUAAUUAAGUCAUGUUGAGAGGGAAGAAGUAUAAGGACGAAAAGAGAGUGAUACACGAAAAAUUAUGUCACACCUCAAUAAUCUCACAUCGGAUAGAAAUUGGGAUGUAAUUGAGUAUAUAAGAGACUUAGACACUAAUAAUAAUAACUGAGUUUAAGCAUUUAGGUCGGUGGUUGGGCCUAAUGAAUUAUUAUUGCUAGUGAGUUGGAUCGUUAUAUUUGGUAUUAAAGUCAGUUCACCAACCUUCACCAGUCGAAAAUAUGUGGCGAGUCCAGCCUUCACUAGUCGAAAAUGUGUGGCGAGUCUCGACUGAGACAAGAUCUGAAAGACAAAGUAAUAUACUAUGCCGAGGUCUGAAAGAUAAAGUAAUAUACAAUACCGGAGUCUGUAUGACAAGAUAACCGGCUACACCAGAGUCCAGAGCCUGGAUGGCAAGAUUAGUGAGACGAGUCUCACUAGUGAGCUAGGUCGUUUACAAAUUAAUUUUUCGACAAAGGUGAAAAUAUUAUUAAUCAAAUCUAAAAAUUUAUUACAUUAAUCGAACACCACGUUUAUAUACAUAGAGGCCAUACUCAAAUCCUACUAGAAGAAAAUAAUAAAUUUUAAUGUAUCUCUAAAUUUAAUCAUAUUAGAAAUAAUCAAAUAAUUGGACUAAAAAUAGGAAAAGUAGGAAAGUACUAAACCUUUCAAAAAUAGCCUAAACAUAUAAAAAUAAAAGCUGAAACAAUUGAAUUUGGGUCCCAAACUUGACCCUAACGGCUUUGUCGUUUGAUACGUAAAUCUCAAAAAGUAUUUUUCGAUUUAGAAUUACACGCUAAAAUCAAAUAGUUGAAUGAAAAGUUAUGACUGUUUAAAAAUUUUCUUUGCCGAUAAAAAAAAAAUUAUCAAAUUCAGCAAAAUUUGAAAAUUUCAACUCAGCUUGGUUGAGCCAUAUUUUUUUCAUGAACUCUGGCCGCAUCAAUGGACCUAUAUAUAUAAGAGAAAAAUAUUGAUUCAAAGUUAUUUACUCCAAUUUCUGGAGGGAAAUAGCAAAUGCAAAUUUCUCUCGCUCGCUCUCUCCUAGCAUAAAUUUAAUUGUUUAUUUUUGAAGACAUUUUUUUUCUUUUUAAAGUCAUUUUUUCCUUUUAUUUUUUUCUAACUUUCAAAAAUUUAUAUGUUGUUUUUUUAAAAUUUUAAAAAUAUUUUCAGGAGAUACGAUAUUAAUGGAGAGGGCAAAAUAAUCAAAUUAUUUUUUUUAUAAAAAAUAAUUUUUAAUAUAUUUUUAUUAUUUUGUAGGGUAUUUUUGAUAUAAAUUAUAAAAAAUUGAUGAGAUAGUGAUGGAAUCCCAACGGAAUGGGCUAAAGAUAAUAAUUUUGUAUAUAAGGAGGUUUUUUAAAUACAAUAACUUGAAAUAUUAAGAGAACAAAGUAUAGAUUUUUGAAAGUUAAGAAAAAAAAGUGAAAAAAUAAAAUUUGACAUUUUUAUUUUUAUUUUUUAUGAAGGUGCCCAUAAGGCAUAAGCCUUGUAAAAUAUAAAUAUAUAAAUAUCAACUUGUCAUUAGAUAAAAGUCUAUUCUUUGCGAGGGAAAAAAAAAAAUUGGGGAAUUUGUUUUGGAAUCUUUUUAGUUACUCCAAACAGAGUAUGUGAUAUAAUUGUGAUAAAUCAAAUUUAAGUUAAAAUUAACCCCGAAUCAUGUCGUAGAAUAAAGUUAUAAUUAAUUAUUAAAUUAAUCACACCACAUAGUUAGGAACAAACGUAUCCUCCUCUUUUGAUAGAAAACUUUUUCAGAAUUAAAGGAAGAAUCAGAUUCGUUAUAUAUACUAAUAUUAUAGAUACCAUGCGAAGCAGCGAUUUAUUAAAAACAAUCAAUAUGUUUUUUAAAUUAAUCUGUCUAUGAGAAAAGGUCAAGGGAGAGACUUUGAUUUUCGUUUCAACAAUUAUGAUGAUAUGAGUUGCACAUGUGAAUUAAAAUUAAUUGGCCAACAAGUUGGUCAUCGUUAUUUCAAUAUAAUGGACUCCUCUGAUUUGCUAAAUACUAUUUAAUUGAGAGUUUAACACUACAAGAAAUGACAGUAUUGGUGGCAAAAUUAAUGUGGCGAUAAAUUUUGUCGCCACUAUAUAGUUACUUACUGUGGCAAUAAAAAAAAUUGCCACUGAUUAGUUAACUAAAAAUGGCAAUGCUACUUUCGCCAUUGAAUGAUUAUUUUAUCGCCACUAUUUGGUUAUCUAUGGUGGCGAUAAAACAAACGGCCACCGAUUAAUUAACUUAAAGUGGUGACACUAGUUUCGCCACUAAAUAAUCAUUUUGUCGCCACUAAAUCGUUAUUUAUGAUGGCGAUAAAAAAUAUUGCCACUGAUUAAUUAACUUAAAAUGGCAAUAUUACUUUCACCACUAAAUGAUUAUUUUAUCGCCAUUAUUUGGUUAUCUGUAGUGGUGAUAAAAAAUUUUUGCCACCAAUUAAUUAACUUUAAGUGGCGAUAAAAAAAUUUUGCCACCAAUUAAUUAACUUUAAGUGGCAAUACUACUUUUGCCACUAAAUGACUAACUUUUUGCCACUAUUUGGUUAGCUAUAGUGAUGAUAAAAAAAAUUGAUGCAUAUUAUUAAUAAAAUUACAAUAAAAAUAAAAUAUUUAAAAUAUUUAUAUUAAAAUAAUGUAUAGUGAAGAUGAAAAAACUGUAGUUGUUAAAAAUUGAGGGUGAAAAUGUACAGGGACACCUUCAACAUCAGAUCAUUUUGAAAUUGCUCUAUGAAUUUUAAUUUUAUUUUGAUUAACACCUCUGAACUUAUUUUGAUUAUUUUAUUCUAGUUAAUUUAGUUAAAUUUUUAAAUUCAAGAGCUUUAUUAAUUAGUGUUUACCGCUUCUCCCGCGUCCGCGAUCGCCCCUCCCAUGACCGCAAUCGGUAAAACCUAACCCCCUACCUCCCCCAAACCUCUCACCCCGAACCCUAAUUCGAUCCCUCUUCUUCUUCUUCUUCUUCUUGUUCUUCGAUCCAGGGACGACGGGGACUUCCACAAGGCGUUCAAGCUCUACACGCGGCUGUGGAAGGCGCGGCGCUCACCGAGGCCGGGAUGCGGCGGUGGGAGGUGGGCGAGAUCGCGUAGCGCAUCGCCCAGCUCUACUACGGCCAGUACUGCCGCACCAGCGACUCCUCCUACCUCGCCGAGGCCUUCGUCUNGUAAGCUCCUUCUUUGCUUCCAACCGGGUGGGAGAGUGAGAGAGAUGGAGAGUUGCAGCUAGAAGACCUCUCUCUCUCUCUCUACACGAAGUUAAAUAGAGAGGAGUGAGGGGUGAUACAAACGAGGGAGAGAAAAGACCAAAACACCCUCUCACCUACCCUGGUGUACCGGUACACGGGACUGUGUACCAGUACAGGAAGCCAACCCGAGAGCAGUACGCGCUCAGCCAGUAAAGCGUACCGGUACACCUCGCUGGCUGUACCGGUACAGCAAGCAGGAAAAUCUGCUGUUUUGCAGAUUUCUUCGCUGAAGGCUGCUAUCGCGUCCCACGGAGUCCGUUUUGCGUCUAUUCGACGCCAACGCGACUCGGACUUGUCCCGACACUCUCCAGAGCUGCCGACAAGCCUCCACAACUGAACACCAGGGAUCUCACACAUACUCUCUCUCUCUCUCUCUCUCUCCCUCUCUCUCUCUCUUAUCCCCUUCUUCUAUUUCUCUCUCUCUCUCUCAUCGAAAACCUUUUCAUGCAGGUUGAGCCGGCCUUCCGCGGCGACACCGGUGGCGGCUUAGGCGGCAACGGCAGCGGUGGCUUAGGCGGCGACGACAGCGGCGGUGGCGGGUAAGGCGGCAACGGCAGCGGCGGCUUAGGCGGCGACGGCAACGGUGGCUUAGGCGGCGACGGCAGCGGCGGUGGCGGCUUAGACGACGGCGAUGGUGGCGGCUUAGGCGACGACGAUGGUGGCGGCGCGGCGACUGUGACACCUUAAUAAUCCCACAUCGGAUGGGAAUGGGGUUGUCAUUGGGUUUAUAAGAGACUUAGACACUAGUAAUAAUAACUGGGCUUAAGCAUUUUGGGCUGUUGGUUUGGGCCCAACGAGUUAUUGUUGCUAGUGGGCUGGGUCGUUACANNNNNNNNNNNNNNNNNNNNNNNNNCGCGGAUCAAGUAAUCACUGUAAGGGUAUGAUUAUGCUUUAUCAAAAAAUCAAAAAUCUUUGCUCCCCAUAGCAACAAGUUAUCACCGGCAUUUCUUUGACCAUCUCAGCGGACUAGUUAUUGAUAGUUAAAUCGAUAUACUUCUCAAGAUAUUCGAUUUCAAUUUCAAGUAUUAUAAGUUGCAAUAUUAUACGUAAAAAUUAUAAAAAAAAAUCUAAAAACUUAUUAUCCAUGCAAUUUUUAGCCAAAAAAAUUCUUAAAAAACAGAAAGAAGGGGCAAGAAAAAAAAAAGAAGAGAGAAAAGGUAAUACAGUGGUUAGGAUUUCGAGAUGGUCUUGUUUUCGAAAUUCGCAAGAGGCUGCGGACAAUGUAUCAGGACUCCAGAGAAGGGCCUCGCGGGGCUGCACGGCUGUUGGUAUGACCCAGGACGUCGAAGGAGACGGCGAACGACAUGCUCGAGACAUCCUUCUUCUCUCUCUCUUAUUCUCGUUUUUGUUUUUUUUUUUAUUUUUAUUUUUCUCACUUUUGUGAUAGGUGUUAGUUGUUUUCCGACAAAUGAGAAGACGGAUGGUGGAUUGCCAGGAUGGCGUGGAGAAUGAGGAUAAUUUGAUGCUUCUACUCCCGAGUGCUUUGCUGGCUUCGGAAAAAAAUAAUUUGAUGAAAAUAAUAAUUUUAAUUUAGAAUAAAUAAUUUAUUAUUAAAGUGUAAUGCGUUUGAUAAGUAGGCUUAAAUUAAAUAAUAAAUUUCUGAAAUAAUUUUUAAAAAAUUGCUUGACAAUUUUUUUUAGAGUUAAUAAUUAAUUUUUUUUAAAAUUUUUAAAUAAUUUAUAAAAUUUAAAUUAAAUUUAAAAGUGGUUAAAAUUUUUUAAUUCAAAUUGUACAAAAUUUAAAUUGAUUUUUAAUUAAAAAUAAUUUAAAGAUUUUAAAAUUUAAAAUAUAUGAAAUUUUAAAAUUUAAAAAUAUAAUUAUAAAUUUUAAAAAUAUAUAUAAUUAUGAAUUUUAAUAUAAAAAUUUUAUAUAAAAAAUAUAAUUAAAUUAAUUUAACUUUAAAUUUAGAUUUAAUUUUAAAAUUGAAUCUAAAUUUAAAUUUAAAUUUUAAUGUUAAAUUAAAUAAUUAUGAAAUAUAAAAUAUAAAAUAUUAUAUUUUAAUAUAUUUAAAAUUUUAAAUUAAAUUUAAAUUAAAUUUAAAUUUAAAUUUAAAUUUAAAUAAUUUGAAGUUAAAUUUAAUUUUAAAUUUAUAAUAUUUAAAAAUUUAAAUUUAAAAUUUGAAUAUUUAAAUUUAUUUAAAUUUGAUAUUUAAAUUUAAAAUUUUAAAAAGUUGAAUAUAAAAAUUUAAAAUUUUAAAUAUUUAAAUUUAAUAAUUUAAAAUUUGAUAUUAAAAUUAUAAAUUUUAAAUUUUAAAAUUGUAAUUGUUAAAUUUGAGAUAAAGUUAUAUUAUUAAAAUUUGAUAUUUUACUUUAAAUUUGAAUUUUUGGAAAAUUUUUAUUCUUUGAGUUGUAAAAAAAAUUUUUAUAAUUUGCAAAUUUAAAAUUUAAAUUUUAAAUUUGAAAUAUUCUUAAAAAUCAAAUUUAGAUUUUAAUUAAAUUUAAAUUUAAAUUAAAUUUGAUCUAUUUUUUCAUACAUUUAAAAUUUAAAGUUUAAUUAAAAUUCAAAAGAUGAAUUGAAAAUGGUAAAAAAUUAAAUAUUAAAAUUAAAUUUAAUAUUGAAAUUAAAUAAAAUAAUUUUGAAAUUUUCAUCCAAAAUCAGAAUCAGAUUUUCAAGACAGCCCAAUUUUUUUCUGCUUUUGAUUCGUGGCCUUCAAAUUCAAUUUUCGUUCUAAAAAAUAGAUCGAUUUAAAAGUGAGUGUUACCAAAACGCUUUCUAUUGGCCGAACUUACCUUUUCAGCAAUUCAAAGCGCUUUUAAAGUUUAGGCCAAACACGCCCUAGACGGGGAAAUAGUAGAUUCCAUAUUUUAUUUUGGUUUAUGAUUACCAUGUGCACAACAUAUAUAAAUUAUUAAAUAUAUUUCUUUAAAGUUGGUAUUUUUUUAGUAUUCUACAAAAGUCUAAUAUAUUCAGAUAUAAGUUCCUGCCUAUUGAUCCGUUAAAAAGUUUAGUUAAUCACAUUUAAACUAUUUAUCUCUGGGUUAUUUUGACUUGGUGUUACCUUUUUAUGAUACGGUUAGAUUUAUGAAGCGCAUAUUUUAAUGGCAAAUUUGAAUAUAAAUAUUUUUCUAAUGGUUCUUAACGUAUAUUUAGAGACAUUGAAAAAAUUACGACUUUGUAGAGAUAAUUUUGAAGUUGAUUUUACAGAAUUAUAUUUGACAAUUUAUAUAUUUGGCCGGGUACCUGUAUGCAUUAAUCCUUUAUUUGUAUUUUAUUUUGGAGAGAGAUUAGAGGAAGAAUGUACAAUUUAUCGCAUUUUAUCUUUUUUAUAAUAUAAUUUAUUAAAAUAUACAUCAUGUACUAAUCACGAGUUUAUUUGGAUUACGCUAGAAAUAUUGUAUUUGUAAAUAUUAAUUUGUGCUUAAUUUUAGGGUUACUUUAUAAUAAAUAUCAAAUUUUAAUUUUUAGUAUUAUUUAUUUUACAAAAUGAUUAUUAAUUUUCCUUUGUAUUUAUUGAGCUGUUUUAUUUUUUUAUAAAGAUAGUUAAAUGACAUUAUUAUCAUUCACAUUAUGUACAUUCAAAAGCCCUAAUUAUUAUUAAUUAUCGAGAAAUGUUCUCCAAAAAGUUCAUUUUAAUUUUAUUUUUAUCUAACAUUACAAUAUAUAUGAAUGAUAAGAAGAUCAAUUUUCUAUAUACAACAAUGUUAAGUUUCUUACAUAGUUAAUUAUUUUUCUACAGAUUCUUCAAAGUAGAGUUAUUUUGUAACAUAUAUCUAGAACGUUUGCAGAAAUAAAUAUAAAAAUAAAUACUGUAGAGAUAUAUGUGUCUAUUCGUAUUAUUACAAAAAGUUGUAUGAUUUACCUAAUUUUAAAUUUGAAAUUUUUUAGAUUAUUCUCUAAUGAGAUUUAUUUAUGAUUUAGGUUUAUUGAGUGUGAGAUGUUGUUUAAUCUGUAAUAAAUAUCAGGAGUAAUAUUAAAAUAUAUAUUUUGUAGUAUCAUAAUUUAUAUUUAAAGAGUUAUUAUAUCUACUCGAGUAAAUUAAAACUUAAGAUUGAUUAGCAAUUAUCUAAAUAUCCAAAAUUUGAUAUUAAUUUUAUAUCAUAUUGGACUUGGUACAAUUGAGAACAAAAUUACUUUGAGACUUAAUAGGAGGUGAAGGAGAAAAAUAAAUAAAAUGCUAAUAAAACUAUUUUUGUAUGAGUUGUAUUUGCCCAAAUCAAUCCAUUUCGUACUUUUAUUGUAUGAUGCGAGUUUCUUAAAUCAAAUAGAACUGGUUUAAAAAAAAAAAAAAUCUUUUCCUCUAUUAACUUUUGAAAUGAGGAAAUGAUUCGGUACUUUAUAAAAUAAAAAUAAAAAUUUACGUUGAUUAUUGAGGUAAAAUAUAUUUUAAUAUUUAGCAGGUAAAAAUAAUUAUUUAUCAGCGUUAGUUUUGGUAUUAACAUAAACAUUUAAAGAAAUUUUUAUUGUCCUAAAUUUAAUCAUUAAUUUGCCUAUAUUUAGAAAUUAAUUGAUUGACUAAUUUAUGCGUAUUAUUAGGCAUUAUUAGGCAUUACCUUAAAUGUUUUAUUGUUUUCUAAAUUAUUGCAUUAAUUAUUAUAGGAAUUGUUAGAAUAGUUCUAGUAUAAUAGAGUAUGACUUAAAUUUUAAUAUUAAAGUUUAAAAUUUAAAGUGAAUUUACAUUAGGAAUUUGUAUUUAUAUUUAAACAAAUAUGUAUUUGGUAAAUAUUUAUUCAAGAUAUUUAAUAUCGUUUAAAAAUUUUAAAUCUAUAGUAGACAAUUAAUUUUGUAAACUUAUUUAAAUUUUGAGUAGGUAAAAGUUUACAUUUAAUGUAUUUAAUAUGUUAAAAAAUUGAUGUUUCUUGACAUUAUAUUUUGUAUGACUAUUUAAAAUUUGUAAUGUUGGUAAAUAUGUUAAAUUUAACAUAUUUAUAGUUUAGCAAAUUAUGAUUUUUAGUCAUUAUUUUGUAUUAUAUUUUAAAAAUAAAUGUGUGAAAUAUUUAAAUUACAUAUUUAAUGUUUAAAAAAAUUUAUAAUUUUUCUAUUUAGAUGUAUUUUACCUUGUUUAAAAAUUUAAUGUAGAUAAUUGAUUAGAUAUAUAUGGGGUAAGGUAUAGUUCAAAUUUAUUUUUAUAAUAGAUUAUUAGACAAAUUAAUUAAAUUUUAUAGUAAAAUCAUUUUUUAAAAUUAAUAAGAUCAUUAUGUAAUUUAAAAUAUAGCCAAAAACUAAAUAAUUAAAGUUAGACCUUAAAACGCUAUAGGAACUUCAUGAUCUAAUAUAGUGCAAUUAAACAUUAUCAAUAAAUAAAUUAAACUGUUAAUUUUAAUUUUAGUUAUAUAAUUUAACCAUAGAGUUUUACUAGAAGUAAACAAAAUUUAUAUUUAAAACAUCUAGAUAUUUGAUAUAUUUUUCAAUUUGAUCAGUCUAAUUAUUUGAUUUAUUAUAAUGAAUUUUGAUCUACAUUUAAAAUUUUUCAAGUUUUUAGUUCAUUUUUUAAAUUUUGUUAUUUUAUCUUUCGGUUUAUAAUUGUUAUUAACUUUUAUUAUUCAUUUAUAUUAUUAAUAUCAAUGAUUAAAAGUGAUAAACGAUUGAUUUAACUAUUAAGAUUUUUCCUUAACUUCAAGAAUCUGAUUUCAACAAUAUGACCGAUAAGAUUAGACAAUUCUGGAACUGGUAAGAUAAGAACAUUUUAUGAAUGACAAUUAACUAUUAGGGUGUGUUUGGUCGCUGCUUCUUAUUAAAGAUUCCAGUAAUCAAUGAAUAAAAAAAUUGCGGGUUUGGCAAACGCACUAGACGUUAUUAGUUCGUAUAUUGAUUCUGGGAAUAAGAUUAACCCCAAAUAGUAAUUAUUCCUUGAGGAAGGGUGUAUCUCCAUAUUAUGAAUUGGAGGGUAAUUAAUAUGUCUAUAUUUUUUUCUAUCCGCGCUAUUGAUAAUUAUUUUUUCGUGUACACUUAACUUAUAUUCUCUCUAAAUUAUUGUCUUUCAAAUUUAAUUUUUUUUCUCUCCUUAAUAAGCUUUCUCUCAUCUCUCUCUCUCUCUCUUUCUAAAAUUUCAACUCUCUCACUCUCUCUAAUUUCGACUAUAUUUUUCUUUCUAUUUUUUUAAUUAUGCUCUCUCUCUCUAACUUAUACUCUCUCUUCCUUUUUUCUAAAAAGAUGUUGAAACUUUUGGUAACAUUAUCUAAAAUUAAUUAAAUAAAUAAAUAAAUUAAUUGUAUAAUUUUUGUAAUAUUAAAUAACAUGGCUAAUUAAUAUUACUGUGUGAACCAAACACAGGAAUUCCACAUUCUUAGUAAUAGGAUGAAUAGUAAUAAGAUUCUCGGAUAUCUUUUAUUCCUAGUAAUCUUUUAUAAUGCGAACCAAACGCACCCUUAGAGCUAAUAAAUAUUUUAAACAUAAAAAUUAAAAAGAUUAGGAUUACUGGUGAGAAAAAAAAAUGGUUAGGAAUUUGAAUUCGAAUCCGACUAACAAUCGCAAAACUUAUUUCCGAACUUGACGGAUUUCAAAAAUUCAUAUCCAAAUUCAAAUUUUUAACCACACGUGCUAAGAACGAUCAAUAUGAUUGUAGGAUUGUUAAUCUAAAAUUUAGUUCAUAUGCAUGUUUGAUUAAUUAUUCAAUGAAUAUGCUCUUUGACUAGUUCAAUUCACUAGCAAGGUUAAUGUAAAGAAAAACUAGAUCAUAUUGUUUUCUUUUAAAGAAGUUAUUUUUAGUAUUUUAAUUGUUAAUUUAGUAUAACUCCUUUUUUUUUAUUUUCUCUUUUUUUUUUUUUGAUGAAAAGAUUGAUUUUUUUGAUUUAUUAUUACAUGCGUUGAACUACUAAAGUUCAACUACUAGAUUAAUUCGUCCAUAGUGGAAGGCUAAAUUACAAUUUAGUCUAUCGGUUAGCAUCAAUUGUUUUUUAGAGAUAAAUAGCAUACUACUCAUUUCGUUUAUUACAUUUAAAAAUAAAUUUAGCUGAAAAUAUGAAUGGAUUGGAAUUCGAACUUGAAAAAUCGGGUACCAACGAUCAAGUCCUUUGCCACUUGUGCUAGGCACGUUUGAUUCGUUAGCAUCAAUUGUUAUUCAUAGGUUUUCAUCACUUUCUCUUUUAUUUGUUUAUUUUUUAUUUUUAAAGAGAAAGAUUAUACUGUCAAAUAAUUUGAAAAUUUUCUUAUAUAAAUGCCCAAUUAUGAAAGGAAAGAUAGAAAGAGAAAAAGAAAACAAAGAGAAAACAAAAAUUUUGAAAAUAUAGUAAUAGUAAAAUGACUAAAUUACCCAUGUAUUAAAAGACAAAAAUAUUCUUUUUUGGGGUACCUGGUAACCGGUACCUCUCCCAAAGUGACCUGCUAUUGCAGGUCACAAUUUUAAAAAAACUAAAUCUUAGCCGUUGAAUACGCGUGAAUGAACGGUAACGAAAAAAAAAAAAGUAUAGAAGCAUUACUCUAAAAUUAAUCGUUAACAGCAGCGAAGCGCGGGUUCUAUACUAGUACUAUUUAAUUGAGAGUUUAAUUAAUUCCCUCCUAUGGCCGUACAUCUUGUAUGUAAUGAAUGCGUCGAAUAAAGAGACUAAUUAGAACUCACAGUCCGAUUAGAUUCUUAAUUAAACUCUAUUUAUGCUUUAAUAAAACUAAAUCUCAUCUUAUCCUAAUUAAAGUAGAAUUUGACUUUAAUUUUAAAUAAAUUGGACUUUAAUUUAAAUAACUAUAAAUUUAAACUGAAAUCUAACAAUAGAUUUUCUCACUAAUCUGUUAAACAACUAUACUUGUGAAACUACCUCUUCUAUUUACGAUUUAUUCUUAUAUUGUUAUAUCAAGUCCUAUUUAUUUAGGAUUAACUCAACCUAGUUAAGANCUUUCGGUGGCAAAAUUGGAUGAAGAUAUGUUUCCUUACCUGCAAGCUCUGCCCGCGUUGAUGAUUCUUAUCCUUUGUCGCGCAUAUGAUGGCAUGAAGUUGCACUUCCAAGCAACAUCAUUCCCGAAGCUAAAGGAAUUGUUAAUAUCGUAUGCCCCGAAGCUCAGUCAGGUGGAAAUAGAAAGAGGAGCAAUGGCAAGCCUGAAUACGCUUUACCUAGGCGGUUGCCCCGAGCUGAAGGAGCUGCCCUCUAGCAUCGAGUACCUUACCACCCUUCAGGAUUUAUGCAUUAGUCUCCCGGCAGAGGAACUUGUUGAGAGGCUUCUAGGAGGAGGAGGAGGAGAAGGCGACCACAGCAAUGACUGCCGCACGUGGGUUCGCCAAAUCCCGAAGUUUACUAUUGGUUUCACACGAGACGGCAAGUUUGUCCAAGAAAGAAUUCAAUGAGUUUGUGCGCGUUUUGCAAAGCACCGGCCGCCGAGCUUGAUGCUUCCACAUUUUCCGCCUCAGAUCUUCUAUAUAAUCCGUGCAGGCUUGAGGAAAAUUCAAAAUGAUGCAUGAUCGAUAUGCAGGUGUUAUCUUAUAUGUAUCUUUUAUUUUAGGGAAAACUUCAAAAACCCCCCUGUGGUUUCGUGCUUUCUCAUUUUAGUACCCUGUGGUUUAAAACGUAUCAAUUUGCCCCCCUGUGGUUUCAUUUUUAUCUUUUCCGAAGCUUUUUCGUUAACAUUUCGUUAAAUUAUAUAUAAAAAACUUCAGAUAACUAUCUAUAUUUAUCGAAUAUUCACUUUAGUAUCCUUUAAUUUUAACUUUGUCACUGAUUUAAGAAAAAAAUAAUAAUAAAUUUGAUAACAAAAAGAGAAAAACGAAACCACAGGGGGGCAAAUUGAUACGUUUUAAACCACAGGGUACUAAAAUGAGAAAGCACGAAACCACAGGGGGGUUUUUGAAGUUUUCCCUAAAAUAAAAGAUACAUAUAAGAUAACACCUGCAUAUCGAUCAUGCAUCAUUUUGAAUUUUCCUCAAGCCUGCACGGAUUAUAUAGAAGAUCUGAGGCGGAAAAUGUGGAAGCAUCAAGCUCGGCGGCCGGUGCUUUGCAAAACGCGCACAAACUCAUUGAAUUCUUUCUUGGACAAACUUGCCGUCUCGUGUGAAACCAAUAGUAAACUUCGGGAUUUGGCGAACCCACGUGCGGCAGUCAUUGCUGUGGUCGCCUUCUCCUCCUCCUCCUCCUAGAAGCCUCUCAACAAGUUCCUCUGCCGGGAGACUAAUGCAUAAAUCCUGAAGGGUGGUAAGGUACUCGAUGCUAGAGGGCAGCUCCUUCAGCUCGGGGCAACCGCCUAGGUAAAGCGUAUUCAGGCUUGCCAUUGCUCCCCUUUCUAUUUCCACCUGACUGAGCUUCGGGGCAUACGAUAUUAACAAUUCCUUUAGCUUCGGGAAUGAUGUUGCUUGGAAAUGCAACUUCAUGCCAUCAUAUGCGCGACAAAGGAUAAGAAUCAUCAACGCGGGCAGAGCUUGCAGGUAAGGAAACAUAUCUUCAUCCAAUUUUGCCACCGAAAGUGUUAAUUUGGUUAGGUUUGCUAGAGACCCAAAGGACGCGGCAAGCUUAGGGAGUGAGUUUUUGUCUAAUUUACCCUUCAGAUCUAAUUGUUGAAUUGGCAGAGGUAGGUGCAGGGUGCCCAACUGCUGUAAUUCUUUCCCAUCUUCACUUUCGACAGAUAAAUUGCUAAGAUGGUUCAUCUUUGUGAUACUAUUCCACAAGUCUGCACAGUGAUCGGUUCUUACGCCGAUUAUCUUAAAUGUCCGCAACUCGGUCAAAGCUUCUACUUUCUGCACAAUAUCUGCAGUUGCUUCAAUAUUUGCCAAAGUCUGCAAGCCCUUCAAGGGCCAUAUUCCCACCAGUCCCUUGAUGUUCUUACCCAAUUUGUUGGACAAAACUAGAUGUCUCAACUUUUGGAGCUCUGUUAUUUCCUUUGGCAGCUUUUCUAUUUCACUUUCACAUGUAUCUAAUAUUUGCAGAUUUUGUAGCUUCUCGAUUGAUCUUGGAAGCUCCUUAAUUUUUGUUGCUCGCAAGCCUAGAUAAUGCAAGUUGAAUAGGUUACAGAUCUCACUCGGUAGUUUAACGAUUAGCGCUCCUUGUAGUUCCAAGACGCGCAAAAGUUUUGAUGAUCUUAAGACCGACUUCAGUAAAUCAUAGCUCAUGGAAUUGUUGAAAACAAGUACUGAACGCAAAUGAGAUUUGUCUUCAGUACGAUAAUUAGUUAUAUUGCUUAGGAUUGACAAGCGGCGUGCUUCGGAACUCCGCAAUUUUUUCUUUGAAUGCUCGUAGACCAUGCAGAAACUUAACUCCUUUGACUCCGAAAGAGCAAGGACUCGAAUGACGUCAUGCAUUCGAUAUGCACAAACUAUUCCAACUUCAUUCCACUCAGCCACUUGUAGUAGACAGCGAUGAACAAGUUUGUUAAGGUAGUCCUCGGCCACUUCCUCCAUCGUUCUUUCUCUUUCUUCAAUGAACCCUUCAGCCACCCAAAGCCUUAUGAGCCUGUCACUUUCAAUUGUAUAGUCUUCCGGAAAGCUAGAACAAUAUAAGAAGCAAUUUCGAAGGUAAUGGGGAAGAUCGUCCAAGCUAAGUUUCAAAAUGUCAUAUACUUUUUCAUGGAGCUUCGAUUCGUUGUUAGUUAGAUACCACUCAAGAUCUUUGUAAACCUUCUCCCAUUCAGAACCGGUUUGUUCUCGAAAUGACAAGAGACGGGCUAUAGAUACAAUAGCAAGGGGCAAGCCACCGCAUUUCUCAAUGAUUUUUUGAGCACAUUGUUCUAAAUGUGGUGGGCAAAUCUUGUUUGCACUUCUCCAAAAUGCGCUUUUACAAAACAGAUCCCACGAAUGAUCUGCCUCCAGUGGCUUUAGCUCAAACAUAUGGUUCUCGUUUGCUAAUAGAGCUACAUCGCGAAUCCUUGUUGUGAGAACUAUUCUACUCUUGCAAUUACUAUUCAGAAGUGCAACUUUUAUAUUGUCCAGUACAUCAGUACUCCAAACAUCAUCCAGAAUGAGUACAUACUUUUUAUACUGCAAGUAAGUGCGGAUAGUCCCAACCAAGCUUCUGUAAUCCAUGGUAUCACUGUCGUUAGGUUCUUGUCUUUUCUCAGGAUCUUCCCUAUAAAACUCUUUUAAGAUCUUUCUAAGCAAAUCAUCAAUCUCAUAACUCUGAGAUACAGCAACCCAGGCACAAGCAUCAAAGGAAGCUUUGAUGAUAUUGUACACAUGAGUCGCAAGAGUGGUCUUCCCCAGACCACCCAUCCCCAACACUGAGAUUAUCACGUGUUGCCGUUGUUGCUCAUCCUCAUUUUUUAACCAUUCAAGCAACAAGUCCUUGUACUUGUCAAUACCCACGAUACCAUCCUUCUCGACAAAAUGUGCUAAUUCUGCACGGCUUUUACUACCACCAACAGCUAUUAGAGGCCUUGCUUCAUUUUCCAUUCCUCUCGUAUCAUAUCGCUUCCAUCUUUCCAUAAUGUUUUGGAGCUUAAUUUUGAUCUCUUUAAGCCUCUGGCUAAGGUGAUGCCAGGUUUUUAUAUUUCUGUACCUCUUGAUUGCUGUGGGUAGAACCCCUCCUUGCUCCUCGCUCAGCUUAUACGUGAACUCAUCUAUAAUAUCCUCAAUUUCGAAAGCCAAGUCUCUUGUUUGUUUUAUAAUGAUUUUUGUGCUCUCAUCCUUCUCUUUUAGUCUUUCUGCAAUCCGUAGGAAGGCUUGCAUGAUCUCAAGCUCAUCCUUAAUGUCACUUAUAUCCUUCAUGAGUUCUUUCAUUGCUAACAUCCCUGUUCGUAAUAGUGAUGCUGCUGAUUUUGUUGUUUUAAUAGCUAAAGCAGCACCUAUCUUUAGGACUAAUGAGCUUAUCACAGCCUCCGCCAUAGGAAUUCCUUACAAAGUGAGCCUGGAAUCAAUAAUCUUUCCAAACUACCAUGUCUCUUUAGAUUUGCCGCUAGCAAAAAUAAUUAUUGUUUAACAUUCUUAAGAUUCUAGACAUUUCUAUAGUGCAUUAAACAAACAUUUGUUAGAAUCAUCGGUUAAAAAGAAGAAACACCGGUAACAGUAUUGUAUGGAAGAACAAAAAGCAAUAACUUGUUUGAGAUUCAGUUUAACAAAGUUUUGUGAUGAAAGAUUCAUCAUAACUAGUCAUACUGAACCCGACCUCAAUGUAUAUUUGUAGAGCAAGUUGUGAAAAAGUCCUUUACGGGAGUAUGAAAUCAAUAAAGAGUUGGAAAGUAUAAAUCAAUCUGCUGCUAGCCAGUGAGUAGGUGGUAUCGUAUUAAGCGUGAUUGUAAAUUAUUUUACAACUAACAAUUAUAAAUGGAGUUUGUUUUGAACUUCUCUUCUUAUUCAUAAUUAAGCUAAUAUAUAUCAGGACUAAGUCAUUUGAGCAAGAAACUAUUAGUGCUUCUUCAAAUAGUUUUGUUUUGAUAGCAAUAUAAGAACUUAAUUCUAGACUCAUGAAACUUCCGUAUUUCUAAUAUGUUAAGUUUUAUUGCCUCGACAUUCAUACUGCUUAUUAUCGACCAGAAUCUAAAAGUUCUAUUUCAACUUCCGUGAUUUGUGUUGCAAUUUGUAAAAGUUCUACAUUACAAGUUUUGACAUUAACUGAUUUUUUUUUCAAAAUAAUUAUUAUCUUUGUGAGUUCAGCAGGAAUAUUUCUUAAAGUGAGAUGACUUUGAUACUUUUUGUUUUUUGGAUGAUGAGGCAUUUAAAUAAACGUCAUGUAUCAUUAAAUAUGAUCUAGAAUAUUUGCAUGGUUUAGGAACUGAAAUUUUUUUUUUUUGUCGUUAUCAUUUACCUAGUGAUUAAAUGGUCUCAAAAUUGACAAUUUAACAAGUAAAACAUGACACUUUCUUCUUGUUUAACUGCAAAGAACCAUCCGAAUUAGUUGAGCUUUUGAUAAUAAAUAAAAUCCUCUCAACCAUCUAGAUCAAGAUCUACAACUAAGACUCUGAAUUUAAUAUUUUUUUUAAUUAUAUUUUAAGAAGGUUACUAAUUUUGACCAUUCAUAUUGUGCCUACUUGGUGAGCCAGGAAAUGAAGUUUAAAAAAUCAUAAAAUUCUUUUUUUUGGAAAGUUUAUGUAUCCUUUAAUUUACCAUCUUGCAUGGUAUGAUUAUCGAUUUAAAUGCUCAAUCAUUAACAAUAAAGUGAAAGUAUAUAUAAGGCCAAAUUAUUCUACCUUAAUUAUUAUCUUUUGUUAUUUUGUUACCAAAGAUCAAGUGAAUCCAAACAAUAUACAUAUUAAUCAACAAAGACAUAUACUAUACUCUCUGUGAUUUGCUUCGUUUGGUUCGGGAAUAAGUAAAAAUUGUCUAUUUCAAGAAUAAGGUAUAAGCCUGAAAUAGACUAAUUUUGUAUUUGAAUGAAAAUUAAGUAAUUCCCGCGAAAAAAAAAAAAAACGUUUGGAUAGAUAAGAUGGAAUAAGAAGGAUAAUGGAUAAUUAUAAAUAGAAAAUAACAAUAUUACCUCUUAUAUCAUAAUUUAAAUUUUUAAAUUUUAUAUUUAAAAUUUUAAAUUUAAAUAUAUAACUUUAAAAAUUAAAAAUUUUAAAAUUAAAAUUAAAAUUUUAAAUCUCAAAUUUAAAAAUUUAAUAGUUCUAGAUAAAUAUCAAAUAUCAAAUUUUAAAUUAAAAAUUAAAAAUAAUAAUUUAAAUUUGAAUUUACAAUUAUAAAUAUUAAUUUUAGAUUAUAAAUUAUUAAUUUUAUAAAUUUAAAUUUGAAAUUGAAAAUUUAAAUUAUAAUUUAAAUUAUAAUUUAAAUUGGGAUAGAAUUAGUUAAUCCCACGCCAAUUCCGGGGGGUGGGGUUUGUUAACCCCACCCUCAAAAAGCUUGUUUGGGAUUAGGGGGUCGGGGGGGUUGGGGCGCGGCGUUCAAACCCCUUAUCCUCCCUCCUAACCCCGCAACCAAACACCACUUUAAUGAAUUAAGCCAGUUGAUAGCAAAGAGAAUAAAAAUUAUUUUAAAAAGAGUAUGGGAAGAAGAAGAAGAACAACUAACCACAGAUCCAGAAAGGAGAUUGAAGAGGGAGCUGCUCCAAAAUAAUUAAUUUCAAUUUCGACUAGAGAAAAUAGUGCAACCAAAGAAGCUCUUGAAGUAGAUGUUUUAGGGAUUGAGGAGUGGGAGACGAGGAUAAACAAGAAACUGAGAGCAAGUGAUACCCUUUUGCAAGAAACUGAGAGCAGCUGCCAAGAAAGUUCUUCCCUCUUGACUUUUCCCAUCAGUGCAGGUUGUAGUGUGCCAUGGAAUUAUUUGAUUAUUUAUCUUUUACUACUAUUCAAAAAUUUUAAAUUUAUUCUAAAAUUAUUUAAAUACCUAUCUAAAAUCUAAUCUCAAUUAUAAAUGGCCUUUUCGCAUAAAAAAUCUACUAGUCUUGAGAUUUUGUAAAAGUGAGUCACUAUUUUGAAUUUUACAAAUUCAGCUCGAAUUUUUAGAAAACUGGUCAGAAUAUUUUUAUCCCUUUUUCUAUCUUCCUUUUUUUUUUUUUUCUCGUUCUAUAUAUUUUUUUCUUCUUUCCGACCCUUAUCGUCUCUUCCGGUGCCUUCGCGACCCUCAGCGACGGUAAGGAGGGCGACGCCACCUCCUCUUCCUCUUCCUCCACUUCUACUUUCGCCUUCGCCAGCACAGACGGCGGCGCUGAAGGAGGAGGACUCGGACCGGGCAUGGAUAAUUUAUAAUUUAAAUAGAUAUAAAAUAGUACACCAGGUGCACGGAGUAUAUUCAUAGUUGGUAGCAUUGCUCGGUCCCCAUUCGGAGACACUCGGAUGGGUCAUACGAGUCCUAUUCAUAUUCAUAGUAGGUAGCAUUGCUCGGUCCCCACGUGGAGACGACUCGGAUGGAUCAUACGAUCCUCUCUGUGUCUUUUAUUAUGUUUUAUUUUAGGUACAAUUAUUUUUAUAUGCUUCAAAAUUUCUGAAAUAUUUUAAGAUUAAAAUUUAAUAAUUUUGUUGAUAAUUAAUAGAAAUUGUGUUCGGAACGUAAAACUAGUCAGUUUUCUGCAGAUAACCGCGCACUUAGUAGUGACUUUGGAAAUUCAUAAUUUUGUGCUCAAAACUCCAAUAAAACUUAGCUUAAAAUGUUCCGUCUCAAAAUGCAUUUUGUGUGUAGGACCUUCCGUUUCCAAAAAUUAUGAAAAACUAGUGUAGUGAUCGAUCCGCGCGUUACGGCGGAUAGAUACUGUUAAAGUAAAAAUUUAUAAAGAAUAAAAUAUCAGUUUAAUACAAAAAAAAUAGUAAAUAUAGUCUAUAUUAUAGACAAACACUUAAAAAAAAAUAAAACUAUAAUGAAAAAGAAUCAAUCGUUCCAACAAAAUUAUUCAAUCUUGUUUAAAAGGUCGCAUAUCAUGCAAAUGAAUAAUUAAAAUUAUUUUUAGAAUACAAUAAUCAAAUAAAAUGUCAUAUUACAGUUGAUAUGACUAAAAAAACUCACAGUAAUAUACAAGAUAAUUUACAAAUCUUUAAGCCUUAGUAAAUCUAAAGAAAAAAAGAAAAAGUAAAAAAAAAAAAAAGCCCCACUCCUCCUGAAAUUAAGGGGGUGGCUACAUGUAAAAUUUAGUCAUGAAGAUUAAUAUAUAAGUAUAAAAGUAUAGAUAUUACAUAAAAUGAUGACCUGAUUGCGAGUUUUUCGAAUUUCGUCGAUUUUAUCAAAGAAAUUUCAAAUCCACAAAAAAUGCACCAAGUGACUAUUAGACCUUACAAAUAAGUGCCCACGAGUAUUAGAAACCCUCAAAAGCUAAGGAAAAUAAAUUCACGGCUAUCUUUUAUUCAAAUAAAAAAGUAAAACCAAAUGGCGCUAUUAUUACGUAAUAGAGUAAUAAAAUAUGAACUAGGCUACUAUACUGUUAACGGUACCAAGUAAUUGGUGCUAUUAGGCUUUCUGCCAUUAGAUGUAGGGAUGUGGGGGUUAGAAUGGUAGUAGUUACUUAGGGUUGAGUAGAUGGUUGGUUGAAUGCAUGGUAUGAUCUGAUGGGUAAAAAUAAUAAAAAGGAAAUAGCUAAUGGCGCAAAAUUGGUAGCACCAAGUGAGGGGUAAACUUGUAAUUUAAAUAGCAUGUAAGAUACCCGCCAAUAAUACGAGAUACCCACCGCUCGCUCGGUAAUAUUUUCGGAGUUAUUCUACAUUAUUUAUAAUGCUACAUUGUCAAUUAGAUUACAGACUUAAUGAACCAAACAUAAUAAUUUUGACAGAAUUAUCUAUAAUUGUGAGAUCCCUGGUGUUCUGUUGUGGAGGCUUGUCGGCAGCUUUGGAGAGUGUCGGAACAAGUCCGAGUCGCGUUGGCGUCAAAUAGACGCAAAACGGACUCCAUGCGACGCGAGGGCAGCUUAUAGCGAAGAAUCUGCAAAACAGCAGAUUUCUCUGCUUGCUGUACCGAUACAACCAGCACGCUGUACCGGUACAACCAGCGCGCACCAGCUUAGCUGCUCUCGGGUUGGCUCUUGUACCGGUACAGGAGCCCGUUUACCGAUACAAGGGGAUAGAUAGAGGGCUAUUUUGGUAAUUCCCUCCCUCGUUUGUAUCACCCUUUCUCUCUCUCUCUAUUUAGGUUUGUGUAGAGCAGAGAGAAGGAGUUUUUUCUUCUUCUCCUCUCUCUCUCUCUAGCUGGGUUCUUACGCACAGUGGAGCUCAGGUGGACUUUGGUUUUGGUCGUCGACGUCGUACCGCGGAGCCGUUCGAGCACACUUUCGACGUCGUGUUGCUGCGAGGAGGUCGGGCGAGUGCGGCUUUUCGCCAUCCUUGACGUCGUGCUGAUUCUAGGUAAAUGUUUGAAGUUCUUUAUCUAUGGGCAUUCCUCCAAGUACUUCAAUUCCAUCAAUUUCGAGCUCGGGUGCUACUGCUGCAGAUUUCUGCGUCGACUGUCGGUAUUUUGGCUCGUACGCGACGUUGGAGCAUCGGAUCGCGACAAAACUUGGUUCGCUAGAUUCAGGACUUCGAGAGGAAUCCACGAAGCCCUUACUUGCUGGAUUUGGUGAAGGUUAGCUUGGUCGAACCACUAUUUUUCUCUGCUGCGGCGUAAUUGGACUGAAACGGUGACUUGUGUUGUGUAGAGCGUAGAGUUAGCUCGAUUCUAGACUCGGCGGAUUUCGGUUGAUCCAGCAGGUCGCUCUACACCUGAGAGAGUCCUUCGCUGCCAGGGAUUAGCUUUGAGGUGGGUUUACAUCGGUUUUACUCCUAAGUUCAUAAUCGUCGACAUGUAUAGAUAUCGAUUUUGGAUAAUCUAUUCUAGUUCGAAUUCAUAGAUUAUAUGGUAUAUUGCAAAUUUGAAUUUGGAGCAUGUGGUAAUAAUUGAGUAGGUUAUACAUGUUGGACUUGGAAUUGAAUUAGGAGAAAACCUGUGAUUUGGACCUGUCACUUGUUUAAACUGUCUGAUUUAGCUCUAGGAGCCGUUAUAAAAUUAUACUGUCGCAGUAUCCUCGAGACGAGUACUCCAGGUAGUUUAGAAUACAUUUACGCUCGUACUGGUACGCCGAGUGGAUUUUUACCGAGUCGUUUGGGCUGUUUCGGACUUUUGGGCGCCGUUGGGGUUGACGGUGGGCCCGGUUCGCCGUUUUGGCAUCAGAUUGUGCUGAGGGCACGUUACCUGUUGGUUGUUAGACCAGUUUGAGUCGGUUACUGGACUUUGACUUAUGAGAGCCUGAUUGAGCUCGACAGAGAUACGCUGCAUACUCGGUUGGGUAGCUCCCACGAGUGCCACUCCGGAGACGGGCUUUGUGCUUUCGUGUUGGUGUCGCUCAUGCCGGUUGGACUUGUUCUCCACGGACUUGUAGUGUGGAGGUAGCUGGAUAGUCACAACUGGGCAGGGACGGGUGUGUUUACAGUCCCAGGGACGGGUAUGCUUACAGUCCCGAUUGGAUUGGGUCAGAUUUGACAUUUCCUACAGUUGGUCAGUGUAGAGCAUGAUAGUGUAGUGAUUUGUAGCAGUUGAGUUUAUUUCCUGCAUUUUCUUACUAUCCUGGCUCCCCUUUGUAGACUUAGUGGGUGGACCGAUGUUGUUGAGGGCGGCACCCACUAAGGACUACCUGUUUUUACAGUAGUUCUCACGCCCAGUUGUUACUCCUGUUUUGCAGAGCCACAGGUUUCGGCUGCUGCGCCCUUCGCGGAUCAGGAUCAAGGCAAGGGCGUCGCGAGUUAGAGCCCUACCCGACGUGCUGAGCUAGAGGUGCCCCUAC
RNAcentral lists this long non-coding RNA (71670 nucleotides) under Ananas comosus (pineapple). RNAcentral describes it as "long non-coding RNA (ACOM_LNC017435)". Lineage: Eukaryota; Viridiplantae; Streptophyta; Magnoliopsida; Poales; Bromeliaceae. The record is from RNAcentral.